UCUUGCCUUAAUCACUAGCUUAUAAGGUUUCUAUUAACCUUGAUCACGCCCGGACCGAUGCCAUUUGCCCGACCCGCGGCACGAUCAAACAGAGCCCGAACGGACAGAGUUUCCCUAUCGCCAAGUAUAAUGUACAUUUUCAAUAAGAGUGCCACUAGCGGAAAAAACAUUUUUACCCAAACGGUUCACGGAGGUAAAGCAAUAGCCAUUAGUGAAAGAAAAAGAAAAACUAACAUUCCUUGUUACUAUGAUUCAUUUUGGAUACGCAUACAUUGCAUUCUCUAGUAAUUUAAGAAUUUCUUACAUUCAUUACAUCAUCUCUUUCUGACAUCAUUUGCUCAAAAUAAGCUUUCAUUCUCUUCUUUACAUUCACUUUAAUUCAAGUACAACAAGAUGAUAAAAGGGUGUCUACUACAAAAUGCUACCAACUUGGUUUGGCCUCUGUCUAAGGCGCGAUACCUUUACUCGUGUCGCUCGCCGGCUCGCUCGGUCCGGCUCUGUGGAAAUAGUGGGGUGAGAAACAACAAGUUCCCAGUGGGGUUCGCCCCCACAUCACGACUUUCCCAGCUGGGACGACUCAGGCACAUAGAAAGGAUUAAGUAGAAAUAUAGUAACCAAUCUAUAACAUGAUGCUAAUGGCUGAACAAAGCAAGGAAUAAUGCUCAACAUUAAAUUAAAUCAGGUUAUGAUGUUCGUUUGAGUUUCUUUGCAGCUUUACAUUUGUUUUUACUCUUUGUCUUUAAUCAUUAAGGGUCUAGCCGCGGUGCGUUUCGCACUUUAACUUGCUUCAAAUUUAGUCAUCAUCGCAGGAACUCGCACGUCAGCUAGGACCGGUCCUUACGGGUUUAACUCCACCCGGCAUGCAUAACAUCCGGAGCGCAUGCGCCCGAGGGGGAGCGACCACCCUUCUGAGCACGGAACUCCAUAGACAAGUAUGAUGAAUCCUUAACUCAAAGGAUUAUAAGUUCAAUUUGCUUUAACACUAGUCUAGUGUUCUUUACAUCCACUUGAUGUGCAAAUCAUGCAAUCACAUUCUUUACAUUUCCUUUACCCUUGCUAACUCUAGCAUUCAAAGUUGUUCUCAUUGCCACUUUACCUUAAACUUCUACUCGUUCUGUCCAUUUUCAUCAUUCUUUACAUCACUUUAGUCUUUACAUCCCUAACUCUGUGUAUUUGCACAUUAGUUUUAUCGAAUGUGACUCGAUCUAUGUCAUUUGUGUCACUCUGUGCUUUUGCUCACGUUUGGGUGCUCACAUUCCUCUCAUGCAUACAUCUAGGGGUUUGACAUAUUGUUCUCACCAUCUCAGUAUGCAAGUUUGAACUAACAUUAUGCAAUCAUACAACUUUUGAUCGUUACUUUCCCUAAAAUGCAUGCAAAAUGUAUAUAACAUAUGCCAAGGAGACACAUUAGCAUAAGAGAAUUUCAAUGAGUUUUGGAAAAGCACGCACCACGUCGUUAGGCGUACAGGUGCUCGAUAAUUUUUUGGGAUUUUUAGAAUCUUCGUUCAUUUACCUGCGGCAAAACGAACCUAUUAGGGCCAUUGCUGGCAUAAUCAUUGUACUUCUGGCUUUUGCGUAAUACGUUAAUCGAGCGCACCAAACGGCGGUCGGACAAUACCCCAAUUUAGGUUUUUGAAGGGUCAAUUUUCAUUUAGAAAUCCACCAUGAGCAAAGGCACCAAUUUGGUGCCCUAAUGCUCCAAUAACACUAUCAAACUUAGGGUUUGAUCUCAUUGGGAAGCAAAGUAGCUUCAUAUUAUAUCAAAUAAUCCAUUGUAGAACCAUUCUUAGGCUUUCCAAAACCCUAGUUUGGAUUGUUAACCCAUUAGAGGGUGGCCCUAAGAAACCUGAGGCUCAACAUGGGAUUUGAUCUCUAAAAGCAACAAAGAAAGCUUCAAAACUGAUAGACAUGUCCUUAAAAACCAUCCUAGGUUCUUCAAACUCACAUUUUAGGUUUUACUACAUUAGGCGUGAAGGCUCCCUACUCAAAGCUUUCUCACCUUUUUUCCCCAUUUAAGGCUAUGAGAUGGAAGGGAAGGAGUUCUUCCUUCUUCUUCUUCUCUCCACUUUCCUUCCUUUCUUUUCCUUUUUUUCUUCUUUCUUCUUCUUCUCUUUUUUUCUUGAGAAGAGAGGCAGAGAAGAAGUGUGAGAGGGGUGAAAAUGAGAGAAAAUUCUCAUUUCACCCGCCAUACUAUACUCAAUGGGCUGCUAAAAUGCAAAUAAACCCUCCUUUUACUUUAUUACACUGCCCGAAUUGGCAGUUGCCGCAGGCAGGAGACCCGGUCUCCCGAGCAGGACGCGGUUCCCGAAGUCGCACGCCUGCGCAGCCAGAGUCCUCCGCAGAGCAGCAGAAUCGCGGGCGCCCGAAUAGGAGCGCGAGCCGGUCUCCCUCCGAUGGGACUCGGUCUCUGGGGACCGGUUCUCUCAGGCAGAGACGCGUUCCCGGAGCCAUCUUCCAGGACUUAGCGAUUUUCGGGGCCGUAUCACUCUCGCACCGUUCGGGGACCGGUCUCUCCUUUCAGGGACCGGUCCCGAGAGCUGAAAAUCUGAUCUUGUACUUGCAGAAUUCAUUCUUUUAGCUCUCGAAACGCCCCGUAACAUCACUUUUAACCUUUUUAACACCUUCAGACUUCGCCGAAGUGUACGCGCCUGACUUUGGUCAUGUUGACUAAUAGUUCGAAUUUUAUCUUUUCGCAAUUUUCGGGUAUAUUAAAACCUAAUCAAGCUAACCACCCGACUCGGCCUCGAGUCAAUCAUCCGCGGAUAGUCCGCGCACUGGCUGCAUCUCAGCCUGGCUGCCGUCACAGCCUACCGCAAAUCUGACUUAACUAUCUGGUGGCGAACUCAUCGCAUUGAACCCAACAACAACUUAAGUCAUGACUUAGCCAUCUGGCGGCGAACUAAUCGCACCUCACCCAACAAUGGUUCAAGAUGUGACUUACUCAUCUGGCAGCGACCACAUCGCUCUUACCCAACAAGGUUCAAGUCAAUCUAGACGGCAUCAUCUGAUAAGCUAAUGGGCGAGGAGAACCACACAUACCAAAUUCCAGCUUAUUCUCAUGGCAUCCCGGGCGAGGAGAACCACACAUACCCGUUGAAUCACUGCCAGGCGAGGAGAACCACACAUACCUGCAGUUAGGAUUCGCUUGCCAUCUCUUUUACCACAAUUUUCACCGCUCCAUGUGCGGCCACAUCACUAGGGAUUCCGGAAUCCAUUUCAUAACUCAAGGGUUGGUUUCAAACCCUAUAGCAUUGACCUAUCUAGGUCCAACGUCCUUUUCACUCUAGGUCCAACUGACUCUAGGUUCAACGUCUCUAUCACAUAACCUAGGUUUACUUAACUCUAGGUUCAAUCCAUAACCUAUGUCCUUUAACACUAGGUUAGAUGCCACUCAUCAUUCAUCCUAGGUUCAACAACACUAGGUUCAUUGUCAUUCAUGUCCAACCUAUGUUUUUAUACACUAGGUUAGAUGCCACUCGAUCUAGUUCACAUGACUCUAGAUUCAUUCACAACCUAUGUUCUUUAACACUAGGUUAAGUGCCACUCGAUCUAUUUGACAUCCUAAUUGUCCAUGUCGAGUUCCAUAACUAUCCACAUUUUAUCUAGCAUGCAUUAUGUGAUGCCAACAUGCAUAAUCUUUCUCACAUGAUCUACAACAUGUUAAUAUGCAUGUAAUCUAGCAUAUUCUCAUCAUGUCAUCAUACAUGUAUUAACAAGCAUAUUUACAUUAUGUCAUUAACAUGCAUUCUUUACCAUAUGCUCACAUGCAUUAUUUAGCAUUUCUAUAAUAUGUUCAUCAUGCAUUCUAUGGUAGUCGUAGCAUAGCAAUUAACAUGCAUUCGCCUAGCAUUUAACUCUUGCAUUCAUCUACCAUUUAUAUGCAUCAAUAUGAAUUUACAUUUCUCUUAGACAUAAAGGGCGACCUAGUCGCUUCGGUAAGCACAACCCACCUUAACUUACUCUCCGAUUGCUUGUAGUCACUUGCAAUCGGCCGCCCGCGACACCCGCGACCCGGUUUGGCUCGAACUCUCGCGCAAUCACCCAAACGAUCUCCGAUUUGCGAUCCGAAAAUUAAAGGUCUUCGGUUAUGUGCCACGGUGCUUCAAAUCCGUUUUCAUGAUUUUACGACGUCGCCUCGGCCCUCCAGGCGGAAACGAAGCCUAAACGUCCGUUUCUUUAAUAACUUUGUAACGGCUCGUCGGAUUGCCGAUCCGUCUUCGCCAACGCGUUUCGUUACCUAGCAAUUAGGUUUAUAUAUGUUCAAUUUAGAUCAAACCCAUCUAUUAGCAAAAAUUGCAUUUUGGAGCCCUAGGUUGCAACUAUGCAAGAAAUCAUCAAAUCCCUUCACGAAUUAAGCAUCAAUCAUCUAGAUAGCAUGCUAGGAUUCCUCUAAAUCCAUUUCUAAGCUAUUUAAACCAACCAUUAAGGAUCUACCAUUAAAGGGUAGCAAAAGCUUACCUCAAAAUUAGCUCCAAAUCAUGGAGAAGAUGAAGAAGACGAAGGCAAUCCACCUCCAAGCUUCAAUCUCCACCAAAUCCAUCCAUUUUGGGAGAGAUUUAGAGAGAGAAAUGGAAGUUCUCUCUCUCCCUUCCAUGCAUGCGUGUGUGUGUGUGUGUCGCAUGCGGUUUGGGGCUGCUGCGGCUGAGGAAGGAGAAGAAGAAAAGGGAUUAAAUCCCUUUUUACCAUUUUGCCCCUCAACUAUACACUAUUCACUACGGGCAGCUUGAAAUCUGAUAAAUUUCGUUGGAGCCCUUCCGGAUGUCCGUUUUCGUUCAAAUUUGACAGACAUGCUCGGUUUUACUUAAUAAGUCCAAAGAAAUUUUAAUAUUUUAGUUUCGACCCCGUUUGGUCACCGAAAACUGUACCGAACUGCAAUCUUUACCAGAUAGCUUUCGGAAUCUAUUUCUCACUCUACGGGUGUCAGAAAAAUAUGAAACUUUAAAUCUAGCCUCGUAAAAAUAUUUCUGACAUCUCCGCCAAUUUUCAUAAUUUUCUGACACUGUGCAUUUUCUGCUAAUUUAUCUGUCCCGUUUCUUACAGAAAAUUCUAAAUCUUUCGUUUUCGCUCCGAUUUCAGCACAGGUCAUUCCCAACUUAUAUUUCACUUCUCUAAAUCCAAUAAAAAUAGUAUCUCAUACUAUUUUUAUUUAUUUUUAUUUUUAUAUUUAAAAUUCGGUAUGUUACAUUCCACCGCAACCUCAUCGGAACCAUUUAAAUAUACACCGUAACUUCAUAGUUUUAUAAGUCCGGUACUUUACAACAACCUCAUUGUCGUGGAAGCCUACCGCCCCAGCAUUGUCUCAAAGCGGCCCCUCCUGGCUUCCUUCCUCCCUCUCCUCGGCUCUCUUGGGGCCUUUACCGGCUCAACUGCCAGUGAGAAGAAAUCCCCCUUCGCGGCGGAGGAGGGCAAGGAAGGAAACGAGGAGGGGCUGCUUUGAGACGAUGUUAGGGCGGUAGGCCUCCAUGGCAAGGAGGCCGUAGAGUACAAUUUUUGUCACACGCCCGCGACCGCCAAUUUGGUCAGUUCGGGCACGUCCACAGAUGCCAAACGGACAAAACCUCCCUGUCCGCCCAAGGCUCAACAACAACGACUAUCAUGUAUAAAGAAUUAGCCCAGGAGUAAUUUCAUUAUACAUGCCUUGAACAAAGGCAAGCAACAAACACAAGUGAAAGUACUAACUAUGCAUACAUUCAGUGUAUCUUGCAAACUUCAAACAAAAUACAAAGAUUGAUACUUCAUUACAUUCAUGUUCCGAAUUAUAUUACAUGUCCAUCAAGUACAUUACAUCAUUUCUUUUACAGUCUAUUUCAUCAAGUACAAAAGAUGAAAUAAAAAUGGUACACAACUAAACUCGAAGGAGACCCACUACCUAGGGCACGAUGCCCUUGCCGCGAUCCUCGACCGCCCCGCUCGCGCUAGAAUCUGCAAGUUAGUGGUGUGAGAACUACUGAAAGUUUCUAGUGGGUUUGGCCGCCGACCUCGCCGACUCACCCACUAGGUCUAUUGAAGCAUAUGUAGAAAGAAAGAACAGAUAAGUAAUCAAACUAAUGCUACUACAAUGCCUAUACAAAACUGAAUAGAGAUAAUAUACUCAUGAUGCAUGCAAUUCCAUUUUACCUUUACCCAAUCCACUUGGUUAACCUUCUGGUUAAACCCAACUCACCAAACCAAAUCCCUUUUGUCGGGAAGAAUACCACUACCACCCGACGGGACCGUCUGUUGGGGAGAAUUCCGCUGCCGCCCCAGUUGAUGACACUCCGGAGUUCACCGCUUGAGGUGGAUCGACUACCCUCAAGCAUUCAAACUACCUGUGAGUACAAUCACAUCCUCACUUAGAGGAUACCAUGCCAUAAUUGCCACAAGUUUAUAUAGUUUUUCCUUGUCUAGCAUUCAUUCUUUUGGUGCUAUUCAUUCCCACUAGUCAUUAUGUCACCUUGUUUUCUAUUGUCAUGGUCCAACACAUGUUCACACAUCCAUAGAGUUCCAUAUCAUGGUCCUUUAUGGUUUCACAUAUUUUCUGUAACACACAGAACUUUAGCAAAUAGCAAGGUUCCAGUGUUAGAAUAGUACCUUGCACUAUUUCUAGUGUUUUUGAAGGUCCUUAACUAAGUACCGGCCUGUUAUUCGUGUUUCGAGAACGCGAGAAAGAGUACUUAGCACCAAAAAUCUGUAAAUUCAGGUUUUAGGGUGCUGAGUACCGGUACCUGGGUGGGGUACCGGAACCCCAUCGCGUGCCAGAGAGUAGCUGCUCUCAGGUUUGGCAAUUUGGGAUAUUGGGUACCGGUACUGGGUGUUGGGUACCGGUACUGGGGUCAUGUCAUGCCCCGCGACCGCCAAUUUUGUCGGUUCGGGUACGUUCACAGACACCGGAUCGACAGUACCUCCCCUGUCCACCCAAGGCUCCACAAAAGUAUUAACAUGCGUAACAAUUUACGCAACGAAAAUUCAGAUAUACAUGGCUUGCACGAGGGUAAGCAACAAUCAAAAGUGAAAGUACUACUACUAUUAUCACCUCCAUACAUGUAUCUUGAUUACAUUUAACCAAAUACAAGCAUACUAUAAUUUACAUCCACUUUUUCCAAAACAUAUGCCAUUUACAUCAUUUAUACACUUCCAUCCCAUUACACUUUUCAUCAUAACCAAAAGAUGAAACAAGGUACCACUAAUAUACGGAUGUCCGCUACCUAGGGCGCUAUGCCCUUGCCGCGAUCCUCAACCGCCUCGCUCGGGCCCGGAUCUGUAAAAUAGUGGGGUGAAAACUACAAGAAGUUCCUAGUGGGUUUGGCCGCCGACCCCGUCGACUUUCCCACUAGGUCUAACUAGGCAUAAGUAGAAAAGAAUAGAUAGAUAGAUAGAUAGUCAUUUCUAAUCAAAUGCAACUAUUAUGCCUGAACAAGAAUGAUAAACCAAUAUAUAUAUGAUACUUAUGAUACAUGCCGAUUACCAUUGUCAAUACCCAAUCAUCUUGGCUAACCCGUAGGUUUAGCCCCAAAACUUACCAACCAAAUCCCUACAAUCGGGGAGAUACUCGCUACGACUUGACGGGACCGUCUUCUAGGAAGAUACUCGCUACGACCCAGUGAUGACCACUCCGGAGCUCAUCGCUCGAGGGGGAGCGACAGCCCUCAAGCAUAAGACUAUAGGUGAGUAUGAUCCAAUCCACAACCAUGAGAAUGUCAUGUCCACUAAUGCCACAACACACAAAGUGUUCCAUUUACUAGCAUUCAAUGCCACAAGGUGCUAUUUCAAUCGUUUGUCACAAUGUCAUCAUGUUUUCUACCUUGGCUAGGUUCAUGUCUCAAUUCAUACAUCUAUAGGGUUCCAUUGUUCCAUUACUAAUUCAUAUGCAUCUUUAUACUAAAAGUAUGUAAGAAGUACCAACAUAUUAUCAUUUAACCCUACAAUACAUGAAUCCUACAUAUGCACAUACAAGCUCAAUGGUGACUUAGACAUAAAGAUAAAUCCAACUGUUUCGGAUAGCACCACCCACAUCGUGAGAUGCUAGGGUGCUAGAAUCCGAGUUUCCCGAUUUAUGAUCGCCGCUUUCCCCCGACCCACGGCAAACGAAGCCGAAACGGGGUUUUUCCUCAAUAUCUCGACAUAGACUUAUCGGAAUUCUAAUCCGAGCCUCCCAACGCGUCAGUUUAUACUCCAAUUAGGGCUAUAAGAGAUCAAACCCAAGUUAGAUCUCAAACUUAGCAAAAACCUAUUUUGAACCUAGGGUUUCCAUAAUCCACAAUUACCCAAUUUUCUUGGAGAUUCAUAGUUUAACGUAGCAUAUCAUCUCCUAGAAACCACAACUAGAAAAGAUUUAGCCAAACCCUAACUCAUAUUCACAUGAACUCACCACAAGUUAAAGCUUCUUCUCCAACUCGCGCAGGAGCAAAGUUUCUUUCUCAAGCAAGCUUCCUUCUCCUCCAAACUCAACAUUUGGAGUAAACCCUAGAGAGAGGAAGAGAGGAAGAGAGAAAGAGAGAGAGAAGAGAGUGUGAGAAGCUCCUAGAGAGAGAAAGAGAGUUUCUUCUCUUUUGUUCUCAAGUGAGGGGAAUGAGGUUUAGGGCACAAGACCCUCAUAUAUGGUCCCUCCCAUGACAAUUGCACUAAGGCCUCUCACAAAAUUACUAUUUUCGACCACCCAACCUUUCUGCGGGUACGGGGUCUGGACCUUGCACUUAGGGUCCGGACCCCGAGAGCAUUUCCAGCACAAAAAGGCUUGGAACUUCCCAACUUGCUCUCCAAGGUCCCAACCACUCAUUUAAUGUAUUCCGAAGCACUCGGAAUGAUUAACGGACCUCACCAUCUAGUCCAACACCACACUUCGGUCAAUUUGACUUAAGUUCGGUACAACCUACCGAAGUUUUCGGUAUAUUACAUUCUCUACCCUUUAAAAAUAGUUUCAUCCGCGAAACUCGAUUCCAUACCUUAGCUCAUCUACUCGAAUAGAUGAGGAUAAGUCUUUCGCAUUGCCUCCUCGAGUUCCCAAGUGGCUUCAUGCUCCACAUGAUUGCUCCGCUGAACUUUCACAUACGGAAUUAUACGAUUCCGCAAUUUCUUCACUUCUCGAGCAAGGAUGCACACCGAAAACUCUUCAUAAGUCAUAUCCUCACGCAACUCCAUCGGUUCAUAUUCCAAAACAUGAGAGGAAUUAUGGGCAUACUUGCAGAGAUUAGACACAUGAAACACGUUGUGAACUCUCGCAAGCUUCAGUGGUAAAGCAACUCUAUAUGCCACUGUAGUAAAGCAACUCUACAUGCCACCGCACCUACGCGCUCCAGAACCUCAUAUGGUCCAAUGUAUCGGGGACUAAGCUUCCCUCGAACCCCAAACCGCUUCACACAAUGCAUAGGCGAUACCUUUAAGAAAACGCUGUCUCCAACCUCGAACUCAAGAUCUUUCCGGCGCUUAUUCGCAUAACUCCGCUGUCAAGUUUGUGCCGUUGCAAGCCGUUGGCGGGCAAGGCGAACUUUCUCUCUCGCUUCUCGCAACACAUCCGGACCAAGGGUAACUCUUUCACCCACCUCGCUCCAAUGAAUAGGGGAGCGACACUUCCUUCCAUAGAGAGCCUCGAAUGGCGCCAUCGCAAUAUUUUCUUGAUAGCUAUUAUUAUAUGCGAACUCCGCCAUCGGCAAAUAAUCGUGCCAUCCACCCUUGUAAUCAAGUACACACGCCCAAAGCAUGUCCUGAAGGAUUUGUAUCGUUCUCUCCGAUCGCUUUUAGGAUGAAAUGUCAUGCUAAAAUCUAGCCGUGUGUCCGAAGCCUCUUGCAAACUCUUCCAAAAGUGGGAGGUGAACCGGGGGUCUCGAUCCGAUACUAUGGACGUCGGAAUCCCAUACAGUCUCACAACCUCAUCAAGAUAUACCUGCACCAACUUGUCCCCGGACCAAGUGGUAUGGAUCGGCAAGAAAUGACCAAGUAGUACGGAUCGUCAUUGCAUUGUGGCUUUCUUAAUUCAUGCCAUAACCCUUUCAUGCACAACACAUUAUGCCCAAUCCAUGGUUCUAUCACAAGGUUCACAUUCAAUAUCACAAUGACAACCAACGUAUCAUUUAAUUCAAUGUCCACAAUAAUUUCUAUGUCCAAUCCACUAGUUUGUUCUCUACUAGUUCAAUAUGUCACUAGGGUUCUGUUAGAUGUAUGCCCUAGAAGCGAACCAGGCCGAUACAUAUAUUCUUUUUAGGACAUAAAUUUGUAUUUGACUUUUAAAUAUUAUAAAUAACUUUGGAUUUUUAUUUCCAUUCAUGUUGUGUAUGUGUCCAUGAAUCGUCCAAGGAAUAAUAAGAUGACGACAUAUAUUCUCAAGUGUUGAGAAUUUGAGACAUGUGUCAUUGGUGAUUAAUUCCUAAAUGCUCCCGAUCAAUGGAUCAUCACGGGGACGGUGAUUGAUCCGAUGAGAUUGGUGCAUAAGUCGGUUCCCUUCUGGGUAGACGAGUCUCGAGUCGACAGUGUGGGGACAUUGAAGCGAAUAUGCAGGUAGUUGUUAGAGAACAAGGGUACCGAGCGUGACCAACGCGAGAAGUCACUUGGAUGUCUACUCACUCGUCAGUGACUUACUCAAUUGUUGCAGUAGUGUGACUGGUCCUUUGACCUGCGGUGCCUCGGCUAUUCACAAUGAGGUUACUAUAGUUUGACUGUACAUACACUUGGUCCCUAGCCAUUCGGGUCCUUGCAGUGCAUGUUGGCUGCAGUAGGUUUACUGUAGGAAUAGGGUGCGCACUUAGAUGAAAUCUAUCUCCCUUGGUAGAUAGGGGUGUUAGUUCUAUGUGAUUUAUAAGACCGAGUUUAGAAGACCUUGGCCAGGGCAGAGUUAAUAGCGAAAAAGGAUUUCCAAUAGUAGAAACUCGAGUCGAAUAAAUUUAACAUAUGACAGACGAUGGGGUUUGACGAGUUAUUCCAUAACCUCCGUCUAGUCGGGACUCAUGAUAGAAGGAUUGUAUCACACGGUAACUGCACCAAGAGGUUAAGUAUUCCAUUCUACUGGAAUGCCACUAUAUGCUGCUAGGCGUCACUGGUGGAUUGUGAGACUCAUGAGAAUUAUCUAGAUGAUCGAUAAUUCUCAUUGGGCUGAGUUGGAAUUAUUUUGAUCCACUGAAAAGAGUUUCAGUGAUAUUGUUGAUAGUGAUCAAAAUAUAUCUCACUACCAUAUAGAAUAGAACCUAUGGGGUCACACACAUAAGAGGUUGUGAUUGAUCGGAUAGCUAGAUUGCGAUUAUUGAAUCGCCGGAGGACCUAAUUGUCAAUAUGUUGAUAAUUGGACUAAUUUGUAAUUAUUACAAAUUAGUGGUAUUAAAGUGUAAAUGUUACUAGAGAGGACUUACUAUGUAACAUAUCACGUCCCUCGUAAAUCGUGCCGAGUUCCGUCGAAAUGAGCGGAACGCGGAGUGGAACGAGUUGGUAUAGACCCUAAGUGCAUUGGAGCCUAUAUAUAGUGCAAAGGGACACGAGAGAGAGAAGUUUCAAAAUCUGGCUAAGUCCCAAAUUUUGUGCUCUCGGGGACCGGUCCCUGAAGGAGAGACCGGUCUCCAUACGCGUAGCAGUGAGACCGGUCCUCGGGAGACCGGUCCCUGAAGGAGUGACCGGUCCCUCGCUGCGCAGCCAGCCAAAAAAUCUGAAAAUUUGGCUAAGUCCUGGAAACCCAACGUUGGGGAACCGGUCCUUGGUCGGGGAGAUCGGUCCCCGAGAGCGAAAGUUGCCCAGUCUGGGCUGAAACAGAAUUUUGAAGUUGAGGGACCUAAGUGCAAUUGUCACAACACCUUAUAUGGCCCAACCCCUCUCUCCCACAGCCAUUUCUCACCUCUCCCUCAUUUUCUCUCUUUCUCUCUCUAGAACCUUAGCUCUAGAGCUUGGAGAAGAAGAAGAAGAAGAAGAAGCAAGGAGGAGGUGGAUUUGGAGGCUUUGGUAGGUUUGGGAGCUCUCCAACAAGUAGGAGCUUGGUGGAACUUGGGCUAAGGUGAGUUUCUAACAUGUAGAACUCUAGGGUUUGGUUUUAAACCUUGAGAUUUAGAGUUUUGAUACUCUAAUUAAUCUAGAAACCCUCUAUUGACCUUGAAACUAUGAAAUCCAUGGUUUUCUUGGGAGCUCUCAUGGUGGAUCACUAGGGCUCAUAGUAGAUGCCCUUGGGAUGGUUCCAAGAGCCUAGAAACCUUAGUAGGAUGCUUCUUAGAUGAUUCUAAGCUAUUAUUUGCUUAGGAGUGAGAUCAAUCCAAGAGAAAAUCCUAUAUGGCAUUGUUAGGGCAUGGAAUUUGGGGCUUUUGCCCUAGAAUUUUUCGGGGACGAAUUGACCUCGUAGAAACCUAAUUGGGGGUACCCUCGACGCGUGGGACAACUCCGUUUAACGUUACGAAAAUGUUUAAGAGUAGUUCGUGUAUAAAGGGGCCUAACUUUGCACUAUUUUGACUAUAGGACGCGGAUUCGGCGUUCGUAACGUUCGGAAGUCUCCGUAUUCUUCAGCUACUACCACUCGAGGUGGGGGGUGCACGCCGGAAUCGUUGGAUUCCCUUCUAUGUCUGUUUCACUUUUGUUGAGCAUAUUGUAUAUAGCCAUUCAUGCAUAGUAGGGUAAUCUUACAUGUGACUAGAGGUUAGAAUUUCAAUAUUAUGCUGCUAAUAUAGAUGAACAUAGUGAUUGAACAAGAACCGUAAUAGACAUGUAUGAUUGAACCCGAAAGAUGUGUGAAUGUGGGACUUGGACUUGACUAUAGUAAACAAAGGUGACAUUGACAAUAGAGACAUGAUUGGCCAUGAGAAUGAAAUUGUUACACAAGGUUUAACAAUAAGAGUACUGAGACAAGAACAAUGUAGAACAUGACACGAACAAUAGGUAAGAACCUAUCAAGUCAUUGGCAUUAUGAUUUGUGGCUAUGUAUCCUCAACUUGAGGAUUGGAUCGAGGCUCACGUGGAUUUAGGCUUGAGGGAGGUCGCUCCCCCUCAUGCGGUGUACUUCGAAGUGUAGAUACCAACGGGGAAGCACCCCGUCGACGAUCCCUCGGGCGGUUGUGCUUAAAGCCUACCCUGGUAGACGGGAAAUGGAAUGGUGAGUUAUUGGGGUUAACAAAGUUAACCGGUAACAUUGGGUACAGAAAGACAAAGUAAUGAUAAAGAACAAGCAUGCAUGCAUACUAUAUAUUGUUGAUUACAUAUAUCUACUGACAUUCUUUUGCAGGCAUAUUAGAUGCAUUAGUACUGGUUACUGUUCUUUCUUGAAAUACUUAUGCCUGGAUAGACCUAGUAGGUAAGUCAGCGAGGUCGAAUGCCGAACCCACUGGAAACUUCGUUGUAGUUCUCACACCACUAACCCUACAGGUCCGAGCGCGAGCGGGGCGGCGGAGGACCAAGGCAAGGGUUUAGCGCCGUAGAUAGCGGCCACCGGGACUAUUUUAUAUUUUGUAGUCAUUUUCUUUUUGGUUUACAUAUAUCAACUCUUUUUGUUGAUUUAGAAAGUUGUAAAGUUGAAAACAAUAUAUAAUUUGGUGAAUGGCUAAAUGUAAAGAAUUAUGAAUGAAAGCAAGAAAUGUAAUAGUUCAGUUUACUUUUAUUUGGGUGCAAAAGCAAUCAAGUAUUAUGUAUGGGUGAAUGAAUUAGCUUAGAGCUUUCGCUUCCGUUGUUGCUUGCCCUCGUGCAAGCCUUGUAUAAAGGCUAAACUCAUUGUUUGAUUGCUUUUUAUACAUGUUUUAGAGCCUUGGGCGGGCAGGGGAGGCUCUGUCCGUUCGGCGUCUGUUGGCGGGACCCGAACCCGACCAAAUUGGCGGGGAUUGGGGCAUGACAUACUAAUAGUUAGUAAAUUAUAAGAGAACUUAUGUGCAAAUGUUGCAUUAUUAAUUUGAUAAGAUCAAAUUAAUAUAAAAUUCAAGUCGAAUCAAAUUAGGAUUUGAUCGAUCUAACCAAUUAAGGAAAGGAUAAAUUUAAAUCUAGAUUUAUACUUAUUCUUAAUUGUCAUUAUAAUAUUAGGAAUAGGAUUAUAUUCCUAUAUAUAAAAUACGGGAGUUUUUAAAAAACCCUAGCUGUCAUCUAUCCUUUCUUCUCUCUUUCAUUUUCUAGCAAUAAAGACGUCCUUUUGCAAGGGAGCUAGCACCCCGGUGAGGACUUCGAUCAAAUCAAGAACCUCGUGUGGAUACCUAUAGAGGCCGGACGCGUGUGCGGCUUCAAGAGAACCCGAUUUCACGAUCAUCAAAUUAAGGUGAAGAUCUAUCCGCGAAUAAGGUAAAGAUUUGAUCUUACUUUUUUCCUUUAAUCUUAAUGAACAUGAGGGAUCCUAAUUGCGUGGUUUUUGAGAUUAGAUCUCGAGAGUUUUCAAAAAUCAAAUUUGUUUGAUUUCUUUUCCGCUGCGUUUUUACCGUACGCAAUUUUCUAACAGGUUCAUGUGUCACUAAUUUCAUGCAUCCUAAGUUCGAAAUUAGCAUCACAAUUAUUUAUAUAUACAUCAUAGGAAGCAUGCAAGUUUCUACAACAAGAAAUACUUGAAUCCUACCAUGCACAAAUAAUAUGUAACACAUUGAAUUUUAGUGAAUUGCAAGGUUCGAGUGUCCGAGCUGUGUUCUGAGUUUUUUUCAGGUCUUCUGGAGGGUCGUUGACUAUGUUUCGACUUAUGACUCGCAUCCCAAGGAGCGAGGUUGAAAACUUGGCACCAAACCUCUAAAUUGCGGUAAUUGGGGCUGGUCUCAGGUUGAGCUCUGCAGAGCAGAGUACCGGUACUGCAUUGCCCGAGUACCGGUACUGGGCUAGUACCGGUACUGCAUCGCGAGAGUACCGGUACGCAGCGUGUUUUCUCGCUUACCCGAGGCUCGGGUUUGCGCGUGCUGCUGCCUGGUACCUGUACUUCAGCCCGUGUCACCGAUACGCAGUGCAGUGCAGACUAUUCAUUGUCGAGGGGUAUUUUUGAGAUUGUUACAACUCUAUAUAACACCCCCACAGCCUUUGGAGAGUUUUUUUUAGCCCUAAUGUCACGCCCCGUAAUCGCCAAUUUGGUCGAUUCGGGCACAUCGAACAGAUACCGAAUGGACAGCACCUCCCCUGUCCGCCCAAGGCUAAACAACAAGAUCAUGUACUAGAAUUUGCCCAGAAAAACUCAAAUACAUACAUGAUCAAUGUAAGUAGGUGAUUUCACAAGCAUACAAGUAAACAAGAGAGAGUUCUAACUAUUACAAUUGACAUUCAACCGUUUUCGCUCUCGAUUACAUUUACAUCUCCCAAAAUGUAUACACAAGUUCAUUACUUGUCUAGAUACAAAAGUAACUCUCUAAAGUACAUAUACAUCUCACCACCUAUACAAGAUCUAACACUCAUGUACAUAGGGUGCUCUAAUGCAUAAGGAAAGCUACUAGCUACCGGGGCGCUAUGCCCUUACCACGGUCCUCGCUCGAAGCUCUCGUACUCGGCCCUGCAACAAAGUAGGGUGAGAACUACGAAUAGUUCCCAUUGGGUUCGGCCGCCAACUCCACCGAUCUCCCCACUAGGUCUAAGCAGGCAUAAGCAGAUAGAUAGAUAGAUAGAUAUGAACAACUGUAAACAUAGUAAUAAAGUCUGCAAUUACACUACUAUGCCUCAAUCAACUGAAAUGAAUGCAUACACUAUAUAGUAAUGAAAUCCGCCAUCAUGAUACUAUGUCUCUAUAUGCAUAUCUCUCAUGAGAUCAUUGUCCAAUCCACUUGGCCAACCCGAAGGUUACACUCCGACUCACAUCUCAAAUCCCAUAGGUAAAGAGGCUGUAAUAUAUCGGAUUUUGAUAUAAAAAUAAAAAUAAAUAAAAAUAGUAUGAGAUACUAUUUUUAUUUUAUUUAGAGAAGUAUAAUAUAAGUCGGAAGCGACUCGUGUUAAAAUUGGAAUGAAAACAGAAGAUUUAGAAUUUUCUGUUAGAACCGGGGUUGAUAUUUUAGCAAAAAAUGUACAGUGUCAGGAAAUUAUAAAAACUGGAGGAUAUGUCAGAAUAUUUUUAUGAGGCUAGAUUUAAAGUUUCAUGCCAUUCUGCCAUCCGAAAGAUGAAAAAUAAAAUCCGACUGCUAUCUGCUAGAGGUUUCAGUUCGGUAGAGCUUUCGAUGACCGAAUGUGGUCGAAACUGAAAGAUUAAAAUUUCUUUCGUUACGUUAAGUAAAACCUAGCCUGAUUGUCAAAUUUGAGCUCAAACGGACAUUCAAAAGGGCAGGCGAAAAAUAUCUGUACCUGAACUGCUAAACUGCUAAUGUGAAUAGUGUAAUGUUGAGGGGGUUUUGUGUAAAAAGGAGUUGUCUCAUUCUUUUUCCUCAGCCGAGCACCACACCAGCCCACACACGCAUGUAUGGAGAAGAGAGAAACCCUCCCUUUCUCUCUCUAAAUAUCUCUCUCGUCUCUCUAGAUCUCUCCCUCAAAUUCGCGGUGUUGGCGGAGAGCGAGCUUGCGAACGCGUUUGGAGCGUCGGAUCGGGCCUUCGUGAACCCGUUGAGCGGCAUGCUUCCGUCUCGGCGUUCACAUUUUGGUAAGCAUUUGAAAUUUGGUUUAAUCCUUAUGCUUAAGUGUUCUAGUAGCCUCUAAUGUGUUGUUAGCAUGUUAAAUUCUUAAUACUUGGGUUAAUUGGAGCAUGUGUAGAGGCUAUGGUUCAUAAUGGGGGUUUUUCUUUAUAUAGGGAUUUGAUCUAAAUUAACCCUAUAGAAAUCUAAUUGUUAGGUAUACGAACGUGUUGGCGAAGUCGGUUCGGCGAUUCGUCGAGCAGGUGCGAAGAUAUUCAAGAAAUGGAUGUUUCGGCUUCAUUUCCGCCUAGAGGGCCGAGGCGACGUCCAAAAAUCACGAAAACGGACCCAGAGUAUCGUGGCAUCAAGUUAUAGACCUUAAAUUUUCGGAUUGUCGAUUGGUGGCUGUUUGGUGGUUGAGUGCGAGUUCGAGCCGAUCCGGGCAGCGGCUGCCACAGGAGGCCGAUUGCAAGUGACUACAAGCAAUCGGAACGCAAUAAUAGGUGGGUUGUGCUCACCGAAAUAUUUAGCUCACUUCCAUGUCGAAGUGAUGUGUGAUUUACUAUUGAUGCAUAUAAUGGUAGCUAGUUGUAAAACCUAUGAAUGCAUGAGUUGAAUGCUAUGUUAGGCUAUCAAAGAAUGCAUGUUUACAUAAUGUAGAAUGUUAAAAGGAUACUAAACGAAUGCAUGUGGGCAUGAUAUAGAAAUGCUAGAUGAAUGCAUAUAAUUGAUGCUAGUUGAAUACAUAAAUAUGGCAUGUGAAUGUUAGCAUUAUGAGAAUAUGCUAGUUGAGGUAUGCAUGUCGGCAAGUUGUAGAAUAUGCAUGUUAACAUAUUGUGGCUUAUGUUAAGGGUAAAAUGCAUGAUGGCAAAUUAUGGAAUAUGCUUGAUUCAUAUGAGUUGAAUUUGGGUCGAUAACUCUAGGGGGAUUAGAGAAUUCGACAAUGAAAAAUAGAAACAUGGAAUACUCGAUUUGGACAACUAGGAGGCCAAAUAGAUCGAGUGGCAUUGAACCUAGUGUUAGUAAACAUAGGUUGGACAUGAAUGAUAUUGAACCUAGUGUUAAUAAACAUAGGUUGGAAUCAUGAGUGGCAUUAAACUUAGUGUACAGAACAUAGGUUGAGAAAUGAACUUAGAGUCAAGCAAACCUAGGUUAUGUGAUAAAAGCAUUAAAUCUAGGGUCAAAUGGACCUAGGAUGGAAAGGACAUUGGACCUAAUAGGUCGACACUAUAGGGUUAAGACCAACCCUUGAGCUAUGUGAAAUGGAUUCUGGAAUCCAAGAACUUAUGGAUCACACCGAGAGGGGUGUGGGGCGUGUGCGACGAUUUCGCCGCACGGGGCUAAACCAUUGUCGAGACGUGUGCGACGAUUUCGCUGCCAGAUGGUUAAGCCGGUUUGUGGAUUAUACCACCGGUUGACUUGAGCCAUGGCUGGGCGUGUGCGACGAUUUCAUCGCCGGGUGGCUAAGUCAUGGAGAGCGGUAGGCUAUGGUUGGCUGAGGUGCAUGUGAGAGUUUCUUCACGUCGAGCCGGACAGAGCGCGGAUUAUCCUCAGUUGAUUGACUCAAGACCGAGUCGAGUGGCAAAGUAUGACUAAGGUAAGAGUAACCUUAGGAAAGAAUGGUAAAUAAGCAUAAUAUGGCUAAGGUGUGAGUACCCUUAGUACAGAAUAAAGAAUAGUUAAGAAUAAAGAAUGGUUAAGAAUAAACAGUGGUAAAUAAGAAAGGAUUGCAAGUAGUAAAGAAUGGCUAACAAUAAAAGAGUGGCAAAUGAUAGAGAGUAAAACCAUUUAAUCUACUUACAUAGUUGCAUGAAUUUCAUGUUGCAUGUUUUGAGGCACAUUCAUGUAUUUUAAUAUUGCAUAAAAUACUUGUGAAUAUCUGUUGGACUAACAUGAUUGCAGUGCCUCCUUGAACCUGGUAGGUCGAGCUUUUUCCUUGGGUGGCCGUACCCACUGGAAACUAUGGACAAUAGUUCUCACCCCCGUGUUAUUUUUGGGGGGUACAAGUUCACACGUGAGCGGCGCGAUGGCGCGAGGAAAGGGCAUGCUCCGUAGAUAGCGCCCUACCACCGAGACUAGAGAUAGUAGUACCUGAGUCGGCUACUUAGGGAUGUAAAAAAAAAUGAAAAGAAUAAUGUUGUAAUAAUUGUGAUAAAUUGGAUUGUGUUUGGAAGUAAGAAUCUAGUUAAUGUAAUGUAAAAUAUGAACUGAGACGUAUGCUUUAAUAGCAUAGUUGUAUUAUGUUUUUGAUACAUUCCUUAUGCAAUCUUUGUUGUAUGCUAUUCCUGGUUGGAACCUCGCGCAUUGUUUGGAUUGUGACUCCUUGGACGUACAGGGGAGACUCUGUCCGCGGUACAGGAUAAACCCUGUACGUUCGGCGGUCUCUUAGCGUGCCCGAAUCCGACCAAAGAGGCGGGCUCGAGGCGUGACAAAGACCCUCCCGCUCGCAAACCCGAGACCGUCUUCGGGACAACUACAUCUGUCCAUCGCGUGACAACUCCGGAGCGCACUGCUUGGGUGGUACAGCCAUUACCAAGCGCAUAACAAACUAUGUGAGUAUGAUCCAAUCCUCACCGACUGAGGAUACCCUGUCAACUAGGGUUAACAACCACUCGGGAGUCCAGCUAUCCCUAUGUUCAAUGCCAUAGUGUUUCAACUACACUAAGUUCUUAAGUCACGUAUUAUAGCCGAUGUCAAGUGUUUUAUCUACACUAGUUUUCAUGCCACUCGUCAUGUAUUCACUAACAUCCAUAUGCCACUCAUCAUGUUCUCGGAUAUAAACACAAAGUUCAUCACUUGUUUAGCACUAUAGGGCUCUAUGUCACAUCACUCUAUUCUCAUGCGUCCUAAGUUCUCAUGUCAUGUAACAUAUCGAAACCUCAGUAGAGAUUAUCGAACUUUAGCCAAAAUUGGUUAAAGUGCUGAGAGAAAUGGUUGGACAAGUUCCAUUUAGCAUUCCAACAGUGUUGGAAGGGUUAAAGAUGAAUUUAAAAGAGUUAGAAAGAUUUUUGCAUUGAUUGGAGCAAAGUAGAAUCGAAACAAUGCGAAAAACUGCAGUCUAGACAAAGUGUACCGGUACAACAUUAAUGUUGUACCGGUACAAAACGGCUGACCGAGAGAAGGCCGCUCUCGGGUUUGCUCUCUACGCGAUCGUGUUACCGGUGACAGGUUGAAGUGUAUCGGUACACUUUGGUAUGGCAGCAACAAUAAGGUCUGUUGCAAAAACAAAUGUUUGGGGGGCUUUGUUGUAAUUAUGGCAACCUAUAAAUAACCCAACCCCUCUCCCCUUCACAGCAAACACCCCAAACCAUCUCUCCCUCUCAUUUCUCUCUUCCUCUCUCUAGAGACCUCACUCUAGGGCAAGGAGUUGAAGGAGAAGAAGGCAUUGAAGGAGAUUUUUGGAGGAUUAGAGGACCUAGGAGCUCUCCAACAAGGUGGACCUUGGAGGAGCUUGGGCUAAGGUGAGUUUUAUGCAAGAACACUUCUAGGGUUUGGAUUUUACCCUUAAUCUUAGUGUAUUGGACUUCUUGCAAACUUAGAAACCCUUUUGAGACAUGAGCUCCAUGAAAAUCCAUGGAAGCUCCAUGUGCUCUCAUGGUGGUCAUCUAGGGAUCAUGUUAGAUGCCCUAGGAAUGGUACAAAUAGGUUGGAAAUGGUAUUAGAGAGCUUCCUAGAUGAUUCUAAGUUAGUAUUUGCUUAGUUACAAGAUCAAUCUAGGAAAAAUCCAUAUAUGGCAUUGUCAGGGCACCAAAUUUGGGGCUUUUGCCUCCGAUCGUUUUCAAGAUAAAUUGACCUCAUGAAAAUCUAAUUAGGGGUAUUUUUGACGCGUUGGUGGUCUCGGUUCGGGAAAACGAAGAAUCUAUGUAAAGAUAUUUAAUAAAAAGCCUAAUUUGACACUAUUUUGUUACAGAUCGCCGCAGCACGUCGAAUAGGAGUCUAAAAAUCACGAGAAUCGAACCCCAACUCCUCUACUACUAUUCGAGGUGGGGGGUGCACUCCGGAAUCGUUGGAUUCCCUUCUAUGUCUAUCUCACCUUUUAUUUGAGCAUUAUGUCAAUAGUCAUUCAUGCAUAUUAGGGUUAAUUACAUGUGAAAGAUGGUUGGACUUCAAUUACAUGCUUCUAACGUAAAUGAACAUAGAGAUUGAUAUGGACCAUAGUGGACAUGUUUGUGGAACCCUACUUGUGUGAAUGUGAGACCGAGACUAUGAUAAUGGUAAACAAAGGUGACAUUGACAAUAGAGACAAGAUUGGCAUCGAGAAAAGGAUAGUUAAACAAGGUUUAACUAUUAGUGGCAUAAUGACAAGAAUAACCUAGAAGUGGCAAAUAUAAUAAGGUAGAAACCUAUCAUUGGUUGUGGCAUUGUGGCUAGUGGCUAUAUAUCCUCAAGUUGAGGAUUGGAUCAAUACUCACGAUAAGUCUUGGCUUGAGGGAGGUAGCUUCUCCUCAAGCGGUGCGUUCCGGAACAGUCAUCACGGGGAUAGUGGCCCCGAAGACGGUCCCUCGGGUCUUGCAGUGCUUAGAGCCUCCCCAAACAAAAGGGAUUUCGGGUUGUGAAUUAUUAGGGUUAACAUAGUUAACCGGUAAGAUUGGGUAAAAGCCAAAGAAAAAUUAUGGAAAAAGCAGGCAUGCAUAAUCAUCCUUUAUUUGAUUAUAUAUCUACUGACAGUUUUCUUGCAGGCAUAGUAUUAGCAUUAGUUUGGCUACUAUUUCUCUUUCUUUGAAAUACUUAUGCCUAAAUAGACUUAGUGGGUAAGUUAGCGAGGUCGGUUGCCGAACCCAUUGGAAACUUCGUUGUAGUUUUCACACCACUAACCCUACAAAUCCUAGCGCGAGCGGUGCGGCGGAGGAUCGAGGCAAGGGUAUUGCACCAUCGCUAGUGGCCACCGGAGUACUUGCAUAUAGUCAUUCCCUUUUUGGUUCAUGUAUCAACUUUCUUUUAUUGAUCUAGAAAUGUAAAAGUUAUAAACAUUCAUGUAUUUUGGGAGAAUGAUUAUGAUGUAAAAAGAUAUUAUGAAUGAAGGAAAUGAAUGUAAUAGUUGUAGUUACUAGUAUUUGGUUUAAAUGUAAUCAAAUAUUAUGUAUGGUUGUAUGUUGUAGCUUAGAGCUUUCGCUUCUGUUGUUGCUUGCCCUCGCUCAAGCCUUGUAUAAUUGCAAAUCUCUUUGUUUGAUUGCUUAAUUAUACUUGAUGCUAGAGCCUUGGGUGGGCAGGGGAGGCCCUGUCCGUUCGGUGUCCGUUGACGUGGCCCGAAUCCGACCAAAUUGGCAGGGAGCGGGGCAUGACAGAUAUGAUGGUAUCAGAGCGUGGUGAAAGUAAAAGUCUAGGAUGGACUUAGGGACCUUAGGAUUGGAGACCUUAGGGACUUAGAAAACGUUCAACGUGGACUUGGAUUAAUGCGGAAGCUAAUUGAUUGGGUUUAUGUUGGUACUUCUCUAAAAGAAAUUAGAGAUGGAUUCAAGUGUUUAAUUGUUUUUCUACUUAUGGGAUUGUGUGGGGCGGCCGACCACAUGACGCCGAGAGUUGGAAACAAUUACGCUUGAUUGCUUUCGCUUAAUUGGGUAGUUAAUUGGAACGUGUAAGUGUCAAGUGUGUCGAGUACUAAUAUAUGUGCUACGUUUCAGGACGUGAUGGCACCAAGAGGACGCCCUAGUACGCGAUCUACAGCGGCACCGCCUCCUGAGGUGCCCGAGCAGUCGGGGUCGGAUGAAGUGCGCGAGCUGCGGGCCCAAGUAGCGACUUUGGCCGGGAAUAUGCGGCAGCAGGGGGAGCAGAUAAGACGGCUCCAUGAGUUGGUCGCUCGACAGGCGACGGCGGCUGCACCUGUGCCUCAGGAUCCGCCCGCACCUGCGGCACCACCUCCAGCGACGGCGGCAGCACCGGUGACGGUUAUUCCUCUGACGGCUUCGGGUUCAUCGGCUCCUAUUUCCGAUGCGCUUGAGGCCGAGCAGGAGCGAUCAUUGGCGGUGUUGACGGCCUUCAAGCCAUUCAACCUUCCGACCUUCAACGGUGAUGUGAAGGAUCUGUGGGUGAUGGAGAGUUGGCUAGCCGCGAUAGAAGCGUUGUUCGAGGACAUCUACACCCUCGAGAAGGAUAAAGUCCACUUGGCGGCCCAUUGCUUCGAGGGGUCGGUGCGGCUAUGGUGGACACAAGCGAAGAAAAGUCGCUUAUUGGAUCUCGCUUCCAUUACUUGGGAAGCAUUUCGGGAGAUGCUAUUGAUGGAGUACUUUUCCAAGAGUGACAAGCGGAAAAUCAAGGAGGAUUUUCGCAAGUUAAGACAAGGUAGCCGGACGGUGCGGGAGUACGAGAAGGAGUUCACGCACCUUAUCAACUGCGUGCCGAGCUUGGUUAACAGCGAUAGGGACCGAGCGGAGGCUUUCGAGCGCGGGUUGCGACCCGACAUUUUCAAGGUUAUUCAUGCAUUUUGCUUGAAGACCUAUGAGGAGGUACUUGACCGCACAUUAUGGGUGGAGCUGAACUGAACUGAUUCGCCUUGGGAGUUUGAGCAUAAUGUAAUGCAUCUUGAAGUUAAUCUUGCUGAUUGCGAAGACUGUUAUUUUACCUAAAUUGGGUAUUUAUAGAAAGGUUGGAGCCUAAUUGACUGAUAACUUAAAAUGUGAGAAUCCUUAAAAUGUUGGAUAAUUUUUUUUUUUGAGAAGUUGUUGUUGUAUUUCUGAUCAAGUCACAAAUUGUGGGCUUGACUAGUAGGGAGGCUUUUAUGCCUAGUGCUUCAUUUUGGUGAAGCAAUUCCACUUGUUGUUAGGUUGGAUGAGUUGUUCGACUAUAUGUCAAAUUUCGUGAUUUCAAUUGGAAACGCAAUUAAGUAGUUGGACCAUAUUGAGACUUGUUAAUCUUUUAAUCAGUCUUGAGCAUUAGGUGCAUUUUAUAGAUUGAGUAGCAAUCUGAGGAAUUUUGUAGCCUUCUUUGACAGAGAAUGUCAUGAAGGGGUUGUUCAGUCGUUUGUUCUGUGAACUCUGUAAGGCAGAUGAUGGAUGACCGAGUAGAAGAAUUAAUAGGAUUGAGAGGAGACUCUCCUAAUUGGAUCAAGUAUUUUGGGAAUAUUGAGAAAGAAAUCAUCCUGUUACUUAUUUCUUUCUCUUUCUAUUUUGGCUUAUGUAUAAUGGAACUAAGCUUCUUGAAACAAACUGCAUGAGAUAAGCUUUUGGGGAUUAAUGUCUUAAAAGAUGGUCAUAUCAGGAUAAACCCCGUAUAGUUCGGAAGCGAAUAGUGAUGCUCUGAUUGUGGGUUAACGAAAGGCUUCAGUAGAAUUCUUCCCUAAUUGUAGAGUAAUAUGUACUAUGAUAGCGAUAGAGAACAUAUGGAUAUAAAUUAAUUCCCCUCUAUCGCCUACAGUGGAUUUGGAACAAUGAAUACUUUGAGCAUCACACUCUUAGAACAAUAUUAAAGGAAGUUUAUCUGAUUGGUCUAUUUGAAAGAUCAAAUAAGUGAUAUCAUGAGUUAUUUUGUUAGAAGCAAACCUCCAAUUUGGACGUGCAAUAGAAUUAAUUGGAAAUCGAAUUGGAGUGCGUGAGGAAAAUCUCUCAGUGAUGAAAUGGUUAUGAUUUACUCUAUGAUUAGUACAAAGAAAAACAGUAAAGCUGCAGAGACAACAUAAUGGAAUUUGUAUGAAGUUUGAGCACUAACAUUGAGCAGCAUCUGUUGAUGUGAAUUAAGGAUUAUCGCCUAGUAGUGGAAUUGAAUAUGGUACUAAGGCAUUGUAAUACAAUGCUAAAUGAUAUAUAGAUCAGGAGUCCAUCUUUAAUGGAUUGAUUAAGAAGAUGAUCGGUUUCUAUUUAGUAUCGAAAGGGAACUACCAUGGAUAACUAGUUCUUUACUAAGCUAGUUGUAAUUGUGGAAUGUAGUAAAAGCAAGGAAUAUGGAAAAUUGUUUCCAUAUCUGACCCUGGAGUAGAAGUGCACCAAUAAUGCAAAUUCUGAGAAGUUUUGACUAUUAGAUGAUACAAAAUUAAUCAUUGGUAUAUGAUCAUCUUGUAAAGUACAAGAUGUGUAUCAGACGUAACCAAUGAAUAGUAUUAGAUGUUAAGGAAUGAUUAUACUCCAAUUAUAUGAAUAUGACGGGAAAAGUUAGACUUCAGCCUCAAUCUAUUUGAGGGAAAUAAGAAAUGGGACUCCAUCCAUAAAGGCAAUAGAUUUUGUGAAGAAUUGAGAGACUGAUCGAGCAAAUUAUAGUAAAAGAUGAACUUUAUCUUAUAAAUUAGAGAUUUCAGGAUAGUUGUGGAAACUCGAAUUGAGAACUGCUGCACCUCUGACAUCACCUCUGACAUCAUAGAAUUCUCCGUAUGAAAUGCCUCAAGUGAUUUGACCUGUUCGAAUCCUUUGGGAAGUGAAGUAUGUGCCGAUGGAAUGUAUUUCCCAUCAUUUUAAGAUGGUUUUGAGCAAGGAUUCGGUUUUUAGUUUCGCGGAUGAAACUUCUUUUUAGGAGGGAUGAAUAUAGUACACUGAACUUUGGCAAAGUUCGAAGCUCGAAUGUUAGAAUAGUAAUUGAAACUAUUCUAUGACUUUUGCAAGAUUAUUGAGAGGUUUUCAGCAAUUACUGGAGUAAGCAAGUAACCGGAAGUGGAAAAGUGCAUUGUGAAUAUACUAUUCAAAUGUAGUACUCUGGACUUAGUUAAGUGCAAAGUUUCGAGAGUGGGAUUAGUAUCUGGAGCUAACCCACUCUUUUAAAGAGCUGAAGUGAGGGUUCUUGACAAGUUAUAAGAGUGAGCAAACAGCCGGAAGAUCGAAAGUGCAUUGCUGUGGCCAUUUUGCAUAUUCUGUAAUGUUGUACUAGUACAAAGUUGAGGCUGUACCGGUACAACCAGCAUCAGCAGUAGCGGCUGCGUGGCAGCAGGAGUUUUUGGUAAUUUCCUUUGCCAGCUUUGGUCUUAUCCUCCUCAGCUCGACUCCCAGCAUAUCCUUAUCAGGUUUAAGCUCAGGAACAGGGUAAGAACACCUUUCUUACUCUCUCUUUAGAUCUUCUCUAAUUUUGAGUAGAACCAAGGGAUUUGAGCUUGUCUAUUUUCCUUUUUGAUUACUAGCUCGUUGCGAGGCCUUGGAGCUGUGAUUUAUUGGUGGAGAGAUGAGUUUUAGAGACAUUUCAUGGCUCUAAUACAGCAGAUAGCCAAGUUGAGGGUUUAAUGAGGUGAGCUACUCAACUUUUCAUUAGCUUAAGGCUAUAAUAGAGAAUUUGAGCUAGUUCUUUGCUCUUGCUGCCAGCAGAUUUGAGGAAGCUCACGGCAGCUUUAGAAAUAGUAUUUUGGGCUGUGUUUCUCAAGAUUAACUCAGGGAGUACCUACGUUAAAGCUUAGAAAGGUAUGGUGUCUAAUGUUUUACUAGUUAAGUGUUCUAGUGGCUGAAUUAGUAAAGGUAGUGGUGCAGUUUUGAAUUAUGUUCACAGCAAGUUGUGUGAACUUCAUUAGCUGAGUUUAGUAACCCACAUGAGCUGGUUUUGGUGUGCUUCCACCUGAGUUGGAGCUGUGUAAGGUGAGCAAUUCAACUCCUUAUAGUUGGAUGUGUUGAUCAUAGUGUUGAAGCAGUUUUCAAGGUUAACUCGCAGCGGGUUCGCAGCGGACUACCUGAGCUCUUUGGCUAAAAUUUGGAAGCUUUUAAAAGUGGGAUGUGGUACUCCAACCUGAGCUGAAAUAGAAAUUCAAGCUUUAGCACUACUUUAGGAGUGUUUGAAGGCUUCGGAUCUUAAGCGGAGUCUUGGUAACACUUAAAGGCUGGUUGGAGGUGCUUCAACCUGAUUUGAGGUAAGGUUGUAAGGACUGAGAUUUUGGCAGUGCAAUUAGACUCUCUGUUGACGAUGUUUCUGUGUGUAAUUUAAUUACAUAAGCACCCGUCAAGUUUCAAGAGAAAAUGAGCUAAAAUGGAGAAGAUACGCGAUUUUUAGUUUUUACUUAAGUGAAUAGUAACUCCGGUUUUCUGGAGAAGCCAUGGAGUAGAGUUGGCUUUCGGCGCGUAUCGGACUCCGUUCAUAGCGAUCUAAUAGCUCGUUUCGACCGGUUCAGCUAUUUUGGAACCAAUGGCACUGAUGGAUUUCAAAUCUGACGCACGAUUUUCGAGAAAAAGGGAUUUUAUCGAAAAGAGGGUUUUCGCUCUUUGCUGUUCUUGCAUAAUGAGACUCGUCGUGCUCUGUGUAUGUGACCUAGAGUAAGGUGAGUGAUGUUACACGUACCUACUAGUGGUAGGAGAUUCAAAUUUGAAUUUGAAUCUAGGAUUUAGUGGGAUUACACAUUGGUAUAUGUGUGUGGUUUUUUGGAAAUUGGAGAGCGGACGGAUUUCGUCGCAAAUCGGCGAUCAAACUUGAUGAAACAAAAUAGUAGCUUUGAUGCCCUCGUCAUGCUGAACGCGAUGGCGCGGUCGGAUCGAAAAUCCGAUGGACGGAUUUUCGAAAAACGUAAGAUGUUCAUUGAGGGGUCGAAUUGGCAAAAACGGAAAUCUUGCGAAAGGUCUAACAUUUUAUGUAUCGAAUCACGUGAAAUCGGACGACGAGGUGCGUAUGCGCAAAAUACACGCGCUAUGAAGGUCUCAGUAUGAAGUAUUGAGUUUCGGAGGACUUUUGUGCAAAAUUGUCAUUUGCAUAAAAGUGGCCACUUAGGGUUUCUCCAUGGAAACCCUAACGCUAGGCCUCCCUCUUCCUCAACCGAACCCCAGCCGCCUCCCUCUCGUUCCCCUGCUCUCCACGCGCCACUCCGGCCAUCUGAUCAUGCCGCCGGCCGCUCUUCUACCUCCUCUAUCACUUUCCCUACUUUUCCUUCCACCCUCCUCAGCCACCGAGCUCGGGAAGGUACCUAAACCUAUGCAACCAUCUUCCCUUGGCCGAGAUCCAUCUCCGGUGUCGUUCCCGCCGGCCGCCGCCGUCCCCGUGCGCUGCCGCCGCCGCCGCCAGGUUGAGCUGCUGCCGCCCGGAUCUACAGCAGCCCGAGCUGGGAUCACCCUGGUCCCCGCGCACUGCUCCUACCUUUGAUCCGUCGCGCUGCCUUCCGACGACCUCCGGCACCCCUCCGCUGGCCAUCACGUCGUCCCGGAGCGCCGCCGGCCACCGCUCGUGCACUCUGUAGCUGCCCAGGGUUGGUACGAGCCGAGGCCGAGCCCCCACAGCCACCGCACAUCGCCACCGCCCACUGCGGGGCGCUUCGCCGUUCCCUCGGCCUCCAGCAACGGAUCGCCGUCGCCCCGAGCUUCUCCGGCAGUGCCUAGCCGCCGGGAGCCCUUGAACCCGAGAACUAUUGGCGGGCUUGAUCUCCUCCGCCGGGCCACCAGUUGGCGCCCACCGCCGUCCAGCACCUGCCCCGGACAUCUCCGACGGACCGCACCCGUCCCCUGCAGGUGCGCCCGCCGCCGGCCGCUGCCGGCCGUGCCCUAGCUCCACCCUGUCCGGUAAGCUAUUUUCAGCCUGUCUGCGCACUAGUUUCCUGUUUGGAUCACUGUUCCGACGACCCGGGGCUGUUCCGAUGCCUCCGGAGGUGAGCACGGUGAUCGUCAGUCAGUUCUGAUCACAAUGCUCACCUCACUUAGGGUCAGCGAGCUUCGGAUGAGUUAAUUAGAUGUGUUUUAGUUUCAGGGAGCGCUAUUUUGUUGAACUUCGUGUCGCUCGUGCAUGUCCUACAGUGGUCGUAACUGCUCCGAAAGGUGAGCACGGUCUCCGGCAUGCCGAAACCUAUCAGCAGGUGUCUCGGUUUGACUAUACGAUUAUCAGUUUGCGUUGUCGGGCCAUAACAUCCCCGAAAUCACAUAAAAUUAUGUGAUUUUGGGUUAUUGGGAGGUUUUUUAUACGAUUGUUCAUUAUGUGGCUGCUGUUGGUAGCGUGUGCAAGCUAUGGGUAACCUCUGGACUGAUUGUCCAAGGCCCCAAGCCCUUGUGGAGAUCGGAAAUGCAUUUCCGGUGCGUUUGUCGGCAGAAUUCGCUGACGGAACACGGUUUUAGUUCGGAAUUCUUCCGACGGUGCCUCGUGAGCAUUUGUUGAGUCGCUGAGCCUUGUUGGUUGGUCACUCAUGUCAUUUCGAGGGUUCAGAAAUGACAGGUGAGCGACGGUGGGUUCCGGUGUCGAAAUAGACACUUUCGGGAACCUAGAUCCGAACGAUUACCCGACGAUAAUUGUUUGGAGGCGAGAUUUUGUGUUUGCUGCCAAGACAUCUUAUUUGAUGUGUUUUGUGGCAGCGGGUGACUCGUAGCAUGAGUUGGUACUUUCCGGGACAUUUCAGUGGUCCCGACGGAGUCCCGGUGCGAUUUCGGGACUUCCGGCGAGUUACGGUAGUCGAUUUUGGGAAACUGAUCUCCGUGGGUUUGUUAGUGGGAUUAUGAUUUAGUAUUUAUUAGUUGUGGGUUAGACACUAAACCGGUGGACCCUCCUUAGGUCCAGUUGACAUCCUUUUGCAGUCAGGAGACAGACGCGACAUCCUUACAGGUGGGUACUUCGAUCCGACGUCGGUACAGUGGUGCACGCUCGGUGAUGGUUUCUUACCCUUACUCUUCUGUUGUUAUUAUUGCAUAGUAUAUAUCGAGCCUUGCACCCAUGUUAUUCCAUUAUACUCUACUCGUUGUUUGCAUGCUUAGUAUCCUGAGUAGGAGUAGAGUGGUUCUAUCUAUGUGCGUAUCUGUUGACCUGGUUGAUCAAUUCUUGUACUUCACAUCAGUGACUUGGUAGGUCGAUUCUUGUACUUCAUAUCAGGGACUUGGUAUGUCCAUUCUUGUACUUCGUAUAAGUGACCUGGUUGGUCUAUUCUUGUAUCUCGUAUUUGUGACACAUUCGGUCGGUUCUUUGACUUCUGUCGUUCGAUGACCGUUGUGGUCGAUGUACCCUAGAGGGGUUGGAUUGUUGGCUAGUGGCCGACGGUAGUUCUGGAUUCUAUUGAUACACCCUGAUGACCAAUUCAUCGAUUCGUUGUGCAUAUAUCCUAGUUGAUCUGAGUGGUCAGUUCUUGUGGUUCAUUGAGCAGUAUUUGCAUAUGUUUGAGAGGAUGUUGAUGUUGUCCCAUCCUAGUUGACCUGAGUGGUCAGUUCUUGUGCUUCCUUACAGUUGAUGACCUAUACGGUCGAUGGGCCCUGUGGGCAGGAUUGUCGGCUGGUUGCCGACGUUUGGCCUUUGAGCAUAUCAGCAUUGACCGCCCGAUACUCAUCGUAUUUCACGAAUACUGGCGGUCUGAUCCACCGCAAGGGGUGUUCUUUUUCGGAAAAGUGGUUGCAGGUGUCAACCCGUGAGCCUCCGAGGGGUCAUAUGCAUGGGAGAGUGGUAGUGGUACUGUCGGGAAGUUUUCGGUGUGAACCUCCAGGGCACAAGCUUGAGGUUUGCGGUGCGGACCAACAGAGCAGCAGAUUCUAGAUUGGGUAUAUUUGAGCUAUACGUCCGAUUGACGCAUAUGUCUAUAGUAGCAGUUGUUGCAUGCAUACUUACAGUUCUUACUUUACAGUUGUCUUGCUACUAUAGUAGAUAUCCAUAUAUGCUUUCAGUUGUUCAUUACAGUAGCGGUAGUUAUAUUUUCUUUCAGAUAUAUGUCUUUUUGAUUCAUUAUUAUUGCUACCGUAUUUUCUACUGACCCGUACUGUUGUUUAGUUCUUCCUAAUCCGGUGAGUACUCCUCGCCUUCAUCGGCUUGCGGUACCCACUGGGAGGGGAGACAUGUUUAUAUGUUCUCACCUCCCCCACCAUUUUUCAGGUAUCGUGAGCGGUGAGGUUGAGACGAGACGUGAGACACGUUCGUAGUGGUCGCUAGAGCUUUCGACCCAGUUUGUUGGUUUAGUUCCUACCCUAUUUACCUUUGUUAUUAAUAGUUCUGAUAUUUUAUGGUUCAGUUGGUUUAUAUUAUUCGAAUUCAUGUGAUUUUGAAUGAACUAUAGAACUCGUGGAUUUUUUGAAAAGAAAAAAAAUGAUUUUCUACCCCUCGUGGUAGCGUGUUUUAAAAAGAAAAGGUUUCCGUGUGGGAAAUAGCUUUCAAAAGAGUUUUCUCGUGGUUUUUAUGUUUAAACACUGAAUGGUAAAUAUCUGGUGAAUGGUAAAUGAAUGCUGAGUAUUGUAUAUUCAUGUAUUGUGGUUGUAUCCUGGUUAUACUCUGUUUGGACAUCUUGUACUUGUGCGACGCCGUGCAAAUACAGGGGAGACUCUGUCCGUGUGAACAGUGGACUCCCUGUAUUUGUGGCGGAUCUGGCAUACCCCGUGGUUAGGUUUCCAAAAAAAAAAAAAUUUCUGCUGUGUUUUAACCUAAAAGGGACAUCGGGGCGUGACAGAUUAAAGUGGUAUCAGAGCCAAGUUAUAACCACAACACUAUUCACAGGUUGUUUUGAAAAGUAAAUGAAACUGAACCAUUGGUUAGAUUGACCCAGAGGAAGACCUACGGUAUAUAGGCACAUGAGUGCGGGGUUUGGACUUGUGUCUUGGGCUGCAUUCGAGUUUGGUAAACUCGAAGUGCAUGGUGUUUCUGUAUGUGUUACGGUUCGCACAAGCUGGUGUCUAAGUCGGGAGUAGUGGCGGUGUACUUAUUCGGGCAUCGAGUGGUGGGGCGACGUUCCUCAGGUAUUGCCACUCCUGUCAGGUGGGGCCUUGAAGGGCCAAGUGAGAUUUUCGGGCCUAGGCGAGUGUCAUAACUGCCGACGCCCAGGCCACUCUCUCUACUUAGGACACGAGAGCUGUUGCGAGUGUUUCUACGGAGAUGGCACUAUGAUCAGUUACGAUCGUGACUUUAGUGGGGCUACUAGGGCGUAGCCCAGGGUUUGGUUAGCGGUCGUUUAGGCGACUACAUUAUUAGUGUUGCUUCCGCAGAUCUUUGGGUAGGGUUGCGAUGCCUACCUCUCCUCCUUGAUUACUGAUUGGAAUCAGCGGUUUGGAUCUUUUGAUCUUGAACUAGUUCUUUCGUCAAAUUGACGUGUACUAGAGUCGGAUUGACACAGUUUGGUGUCAGGUUUUCGUUGAUGCAUACAUCGUAUGCUAUUAUUCUCACACCUAAAUUGGUGUGUUGUGGGUUAGUCUGUGGUUUGUGGUAGAGUUCGUUUUGACUCGAGAUACUCUUGGAUAGUGUUGGAGUUCUCGGAGCUUGGGUAUAGUUCGGUUGUGGUGCGGAAAUUGGUUAGAGAAACCAAUUCUUAAAGCCUCAGUCCGUGUGGUUCGCCGUUUAGUGUCGCUAGUGACUUUCAGAUGUUGAAAGCUAUGAAACUCCCUGUGAGUUGGUUCAAGGUCGGGUUGAUUUCGAAUGCCGGCUUGCAAAGUCGAUGUUUCGACAGUCUUGGUUGUGAGCUUUUGGUUCAGUAGAGAGGUAUCAAGUGGCUUGAUACUUUAACGCGUUGUGUUUCCAACUUGUUGUUGGUAGUGGAUCUUCGGAUAUUUCGCUUUUCUUUUGAUAAGUAUAUUGGCUACAGACAAUAUACUGUCGAAAGAGGGACGAAAUACUAUCUUCCCGUUUGGGACUUGUGGAUUGGGUCGAUGUGUUCUCUAGACUGUUUUGUGGGAAAAGCUAGAGUGAUGGUCAUCUCUGACCAUGUGGCGAGCCUUGGAUUAUUUCCCUGGCAGGUUUUGUACAGUUGACUUACUGUCACUGCUGAUGGUUUUCACUUUGGUUCGAGUCUAGGUGAUCGUUGGUUCUAUUGUUGUGCCUUCCACAACUAAAGGUUUGCCUUGGUUGUUAGUCUUGGCCUUUUGCUAGGCGGUUCUGAAUCACAGUUGUUGCGUGACUUUAGCCUGGUUGUUGGCUUUGAUUGUCAUCGUAUGUGAUAGCAUAUAUGGUUUGCGACUCGGCUUAACGUGCAAACCAAGAAAUGGUAUGCUUGUCCAGUCAAAUAGGUGACAGGUACGUCUGGAUCUCAAUGAGACAUGUUUUUGGUGUUGCUCGGAACAUCAAUCGCUAGGGUCCCUGGUUGGACGGCAGCGACAGGGUCUCGUGUAGACAAAUGUUGAGCAUCGCCGACAGUUAGUAUCGCUUUUGUGAUUGGCUACCUGUGCAUCAAGUGAUGGACUUGCAAAGAGCUUUCAGUGGUCUGUUGGUACUGGUUAAGUUUGAGGAGACAAAAUUGUCUAGCCCAAAUGGUAUCGUUAGUUGGACCUGUUGGUCAGGCGGAAAGUGAGGUCUUGGACCUAGGACUAUAGAUUAUCGCAGGUGACUUUCCGUUGAUAGAGGUUUUGGCAGUUUGUGUGGUUAUUGGUGGGAGACUGUGGUCUCCAAGGUGAGAGUUUUGACUCAGGUUAUAGAACAACGUUUUGUAUUCGCUCGUGGUGAGCAGGUUGAUGUUGUGGGCUAGUUGGAGUAUUUCAUUUCAGUCUACGUAAAUAGACUCCAGAUUAGUAGUUGUCUCGUGACUUUUCUACGUGAACUUGCGACGUAGUCGAGUUGGUUACUGGUAUGCGGAUCAAGGUUGAGUGGACCUAGAAUUUCUGAGUGUUGAAGUGUUAUCUCAGAAUUGGCAAAGUUGGGAUCGACGAAUCCUAGCAGUGGGACUGUUUUUGUCCGCAAGUUAUAGGAUGGUGUUGAUCCCGGUGAGUUUUGGUCCGUAGAUUUUGGGUUGGUACGUUUUUCCCUCAUUUUUGUCCGAGUGGAACCGUGGUCCUAUUCUUCCCUUAUUCGGAGAUUGAUUUGUCCAAAUUCAAGGAUUUGUGAUUAACCAGUACUCAAGGGUGAUAUUGUAGUGGUGGAGUAAUAUCUGAAUUCUAUUUCGGUGGGUACAUGGUCAAGUUUCGGGGACGAAACUUCUUUUAAGGGGGGGAUAAUAUAAGGACUGAGAUUUUGGUAGUGCAAUUAUACUCUCUGUUGACGAUGUUCCUGUGUGUAAUUUAAUUACAUAAGCACUCGUCAAGUUUCAGGAGAAAAUGAGCUAAAAUGGAGAAGAUACGCGAUUUUUAGUUUUUACUUAAGUGAAUAGUAACUCCGAUUUUCCGGAGAAGCCACGGAGUAGAGUUGGCUUUCAGCGCAUAUCGGACUCCGUUCAUAGCGAUCCAAUAGCUUGUUUCGACCGGUUCAGCUAUUUUGGAACCAAUGGCACUGAUGAUUUCAGAUCUGACGCACGAUUUUCGAGAAAAAGGGAUUUUAUCGAAAAGAGGAUUUUCGCUCUUUGCUGUUCUUGCAUAAUGAGACUUGUCGUGCUCUGUGUAUGUGACCUAGAGUAAGGUGAGUGAUGUUACACGUACCUACUAGUGGUAGGAGAUUCAAAUUUGAAUUUGAAUCUAGGAUUUAGUGGGAUUACACAUUGGUAUAUGUGUGUGGUUUUUUGGAAAUUGGAGACCGGACGGAUUUCGUCGCAAAUCAGCGAUCAAACUUGAUGAAACAAAAUUGUAGCUUUGAUGCCCUCGUCAAAGUAGUGAAGGCUUAAGUGGAACUUUAGAAUAUGUGCCAUGGGUCAUUUGAACCUAGAAUAAGUCAUUGAGUAUGACCUUAGUAAACCACUUUCCUUAUGUAUAGGGAAUAGUGAGAGGACUCUAUGUGAGUAUGUGUGGAUAUAGCCCAUCAUGAUAUUAAGUUUAUAAUUAUUCAGGUUAUACCAGCUAUUGGUUAAAGUAUGUCAACAAGUAGUUGAUAGUGACGUAUGACUUGGGUACUACAGUGUCGACCUUGCGUCGAGUAGAGAUUCUAUGUUAGAGACAUGAUGAAAUUGUGAUACUUGUGCUAUGGAUUACAGCUUGCAUGCCAUUAUGCUCUUUCGCACACGCUUGUGGGGGUCGCGCCCCCCAAGCGAGCACUCCGGAGUAGCUUAGUGACAGAUUGCUCACUUAUGUACGAACCUGAGCGCCGAAAUGGAUUGCUGUGGGUAGUGUUGACUUCCAUGGGGCCAUUAGGCACAGCGCGGUUGGGACUUUACCUUGGGUAAGUCUCUUGUGAAUUGGGUUAUUAUGAGUCACUUUAACUUUAGAUGGACAUAGUAGUAAGUAUACUUUAUGUCAUUGAUCGAGUAAACUUAGUGAUGAACAAGUUAGAAGGUUGACAUCCUGAUUAGUUAGUAGCAUAGUAACAGUAUGUUUACACUCUUGCUAGUGUAGGAUGUAACUACAUGAUAUCAUCUGAUAGUUCAAUGAUAAUGAGAAUAAUUGCAACAGCCUGGCAUAUGACUAAUCAAAUUGUCUACCAACAUGAAUGAUAGAACUUAUCAUGAUAAACUAAUGUUCACAACCUGUUGAUAAAUAUAUUUUGAGCAAAUAUUAUAAUUGAUUUAUUUCAAUAUCUGUUGCAUUUACUUGCGUAUUUAUUUAUUUUUACUCAUGCCACAGUUGACCUAGUGGUGUACUUCGCCACUCUCGGCAGCUUACCUACUGGGAACUAUUGUUUAAUAGUUCUCACACCCUUUUUGUUGUUGUUUUUACAGAGCCUUCCACAGCGGGAAAGGCUAGGGUUCCUGCCGAGGGGUCAGCGGCUAGCUAAAGCCUUCUUGACGUUAAAUAGACAACCCUUAUAAGUUUAUGCAGUUUUCUUCAGUGUUACAUAUUGAGAUCAUGUAAAUUGUACUUUACCCUUAUCUGUUGUAAUAGAGUUUUGGGUUGUAUAAGUUUAAAUUUCUAGUUAUGCUCUGAUUACCUAGUUAAGUUAAGAUUUUGUUGCUACAUUGUUGAUUCUCUUUGUAGACGCCUAGUGUACAUUGGGGUAGUUUGGUGUACACGGCGGGUCUGUGCACGUUACUGUGAGCUUCCGCUGAAGUUCAGGGCAUGACAUGUUAUAUCCGGGGACGACAUCUCGGUGGACCCAAAAAAAGUUGAGGCAAUUAAAGAUUGGCCUCGCCCGACAAGUAUAGCGAAAAUUUAUAGCUUUCUUGGACUUGCGGGCUACUACCGGCAGUUCGUGGAGGGGUUUGCUAAGAUAACUACACCCCUAACGCGCCUUACCCACAAAGGAGUGAGUAUGUUUGGAGCCUCGAAUGUGAGCGGAGCUUCAAGGAGCUAAAGGAAAGAUUGACAUCGACCCCAGUGCUUGCCUUGCCAACGCCCGGGGAGAGCUAUGUAGUGUACAGUGAUGCUUCUUAUAUCGGUCGCGGAUGUGUUUUGAUGCAAAAUGGCCGAGAUAUAGCUUAUGCUUCGUGUUAGUUAAAGAGUUAUGAAAAGAACUACCCGAUUCACGACCUCGAGCUAGCGGCGGUUAUCUUCGCGCUAAAGUUGUGGAGGCAUUACUUGUACGGUGAGCAUUGUGAGAUUUACAUGGACCACAAGAGUCUCAAAUACUUGUUCACCCAGAAGGAGUUGAAUAUGCGACAGCGGCGGUGGUUGGAAUUACUAAAGGACUAUGACGUCAUUAUUCUAUACCACCCCGGGAAAGCAAAUGUCGUGGCCGAUGCUUUAAGUAGAAAGUCAGCAGAAAAUUUGGCAACGGCAAUUACACCCCAACCGGCAUUGUAAAAAGAGAUGCAACGGUUAGAACUUGAAGUGGUGGCACCGGGAGUGGUGGCGCUGGGAGUGCCAGCAACACAUGCCACGUUGGUUGUGCAACCGACCUUGUUGGAGAGGAUUAAAGAAUUGCAAACUUCUGAUUCAUAUCUCCAAAAGAUGUGGGGUGAAAUUGAGAGCGGUAGUGCCGAUGAUUUUGGCAUUGGGACCGACGGCACACUACGAUUUAGAAGUCGUUGGUGUGUACCUAAAAACGAUGACCUACGGCGGGCGACUAUGCAAGAAGCGCAUCAAUCUCCCUACAGCAUACAACCGGGCGGCACUAAAAUGUAUAAAGACUUGAAGCUACAUUAUUGGUGGUCGGGCAUGAAAAAGGAUAUUGGAGAGCUUGUGGCGCAGUGCUUAACGUGCCAACAAGUAAAGGCGAAACGUCAGUUUCCAGCGGGGAAGUUGCAAAGCCGAUCAAUACUCGUUUGGAAAUGGAAAAAUAUCGCGAUGGAUUUUGUAACCGGUAUGCCAAGAUCUCAAGCCGGGCAUGAUACAAUUUGGGUAGUUGUGGACCGGUUGACGAAAUCGGCACACUUUUUGCCGAUUCACACUACUUGGUCGGGAGACAAGUUAGCUCAGGUAUAUCUCGACGAGAUUGUGAGACUUCAUGGGGUUCCGGUGUCAAUUGUAUCGGACCGAGACCCUAGGUUCACAUCUCAUUUUUGGAAGAGCUUGCAAGAUGCAUUAGGCACACGGCUUGAUUUUAGCACGGCAUUUCAUCCUCAAAGUGACGGUCAAUCGGAGAGGACUAUAUAAAUUCUUGAGGAUAUGCUUCAGGCGUGUGUACUUGAUUAUAAGGGCGGAUGGCAUGAUUAUUUACUGAUGGCGGAAUUCACGUACAACAAUAGCUAUCAAGAAAACAUCGCGAUGGCGCCAUUCGAGACCCUUUAUGGAAAGAAAUGUCGCUCUCCAAUACAUUGGAGCGAUGUGGGUAAGAGAGUGGCUCUUGGCCCCGAUGUGGUGCGGGAGGCGGAGGAGAAAGUUCGCCUUGCCGGACAACGACUUGCGAUGGUGCAAUCUCGGCAAAAGAGUUAUGCCGACCAGCAAAGGAAAGAUAUAGAGUUCGCGGUUGGAGACCGUGUAUUCUUGAAGGUAUCGCCGAUGCGAGGAGUGAAACGAUUUGGAGUCGGUGGGAAGUUAAGUGCCCGGUAUGUUGGACCGUAUGAAAUAUUGGAAUAGGUCGGCGCGGUAGCGUACAAACUUGCAUUACCACAGAGGCUUGCGGGAGUGGAUAAUGUAUUUCAUGUGUCAAAUCUCCGCAAGUAUGUUUUCGACCCCAAGUAUAUUCUCUCGUAUGAACUGUUCGAGCUUCAAGAGGAUAUGACCUAUGAGGAGUUCCCGGCAUUCAUCGUCGAUCGAGAGAUGAGAAAACUACGGAACCGUGAAAUUCCAUAUGUUAAAAUUCAUUGGUGUAACUACGACGAUCGGGAAGAUACUUGGGAGUCCAGCUAUCCUUAUGUUCAAUGCCAUAGUGUUUCAACUACACUAAGUUCUUAAGUCGAUGUCAAGUGUUUUAUCUACACUAGUUUUCAUGCCACUCGUCAUGUAUUCACUAACAUCCAUAUGCCACUCAUCAUGUUCUCGGAUAUAAACACUAAGUUUAUCACUUGUUUAGCACUAUAGGGCUCUAUGUCACAUCACUCUAUUCUCAUGCGUCCUAAGUUCUCAUGUCAUGUAACAUAUCGAAACCUUGGUAGAGAUUAUCGAAUUUUAGCCAAAAUUGGUUAAAGGGCCGAGAGAAAUGGUUGGACAAGUUCCAUUUAGUAUUCCAACAGUGUUAGAAGGGUUAAAGAUGAGUUUAAAAGAGUUAGAAAGGUUUUUGCAUUGAUUGGAGUAAAGUAGAAUCGAAACAAUGCGAAAAACUGCAGUCUGGGCAAAGUGUACCGGUACAACAUCAAUGUUGUACCGGUACAAAAUGGCUGACCAAGAGAAGGCUGCUCUCGGGUUUGCUCUCUGCGCGAUCGUGUUACCGGUGACAGGUUGAAGUGUACCGGUACACUUUGGUCUGGCAGCAACAAUAAGGUCUGUUGCAAAUACAAAUGUUUGUGGGGCUUUGUUGCAAUUGUGGCAACCUAUAAAUAACCCAACCCCUCUCCCCUUCACAACAAACACUCCAAACCAUCUCUCCCUCUCAUUUCCCUCUUUCUCUCUCUAGAGACCUCACUCUAGGGCAAGGAGUUGAAGGAGAAGAAGACAUUGAAGGAGAUUUUUGAAGGAUUAGAGGACCUAGGAGCUCUCCAACAAGGUGGACCUUGGAGGAGCUUGGGCUAAGGUGAGUUUUAUGCAAGAACAUUUCUAGGGUUUGGAUUUUACCCUUAAUCUUAGUGUUUUGGACUUCUUGCAAACUUAGAAACCUUUUUGAGACAUGAGCUCCAUGAAAAUCCAUGGAAGCUCCAUGUGCUCUCAUGGUGGUCAUCUAGGGAUCAUGUUAGAUGCCCUAGGAAUGGUACAAAUAGGUUGGAAAUGGUAUUAGAGAGCUUCCUAGAUGAUUUUAAGCUAGUAUUUGCUUAGUUACAAGAUCAAUCUAGAAAAAAUCCAUAUAUGGCAUUGUUAGGGCACCAAAUUUGGGGCUUUUGCCUCCGAUCGUUUUCGAGAUAAAUUGACCUCAUAAAAAUCUAAUUAGGGGUAUUUCCGACGCAUUGGUGCGCUCGGUUCGGGAAAACGAAGAGUCUAUGUAAAGAUAUUUAAUAAAAAGCCUAAUUUGGCACUAUUUUAGUACAGAUCGCCGCAGCAUGCGGAAUAGGAGUCUAAAAAUCACGAGAAUCGAACCCCAACUCCUCUACUACUAUUCGAGGUGGGGAGUGCGCUCCGGAAUCGUUGGAUUCCCUUCUAUGUCUAUCUCACCUUUUAUUUGAGCAUUAUGUCAAUAGUCAUUCAUGCAUAUUAGGGUUAAUUACAUGUGAAAGAUGGUUGGAUUUCAAUUACAUGCUUCUAACGUAGAUGAACAUAGAGAUUGAUAUGAACCAUAGUGGACAUGUUUGUGGAACCUUAUACUUGUGUGAAUGUGAGAUUGAGACUAUGAUAAUGGUAAACAAAGAUGACAUUGGCAAUAGAUACAAGAUUGGCAUCGAGAAAAUGAUAGUUAAACAAGGUUUAACCAUUAGUGGCAUAAUGACAAGAAUAACCUAGAAAUGGCAAAUAUGAUAAGGUAGAAACCUAUCAUUGGUUUUGGCAGUGCUUAGGGUCCCUCGGGUCUUGCAGUGCUUAGAGCCUCCUCGAACAAAAGGGAUUUCAGGUUGUGAGUUAUUUGGGUUAACAUGGUUAACCUGUCAUGCCCCAGGGCCAAUUUUUAAAAGCCCUUUUAAAAUAAAUACGAUAUUUGAAAUCAGAGUUGCGAAAAAUGUGCCCUUUUUUUUUUCAACCUGGCCCCUGAGACGUAUAGACCCGCCACAAAUACAAAGUUCCUCUGCGUACUCGAAUAGAGUCUCCUUUGUAUUUUCACGGCGUACCAACAGCUACAUCAGGAUCUCAACCACAACCUACAUUUACCAAUCAACAACCAAUCAUGCUAUGCAUUUCCAUACAGCUAGUGAUCCUUAGAAAUUAUGCAUGCUUCUAAACACUCCUUAGGCGCUGGAUGAUGCAAUGCACAAUACAACAAGCAUCCUAUUUAAAAGUGCUCCCCAUCCGGAAGCUUUGUUUUUAAACUCUAUUCAUUCAUUCAUAAAAAUUAUUUGAAAACCUUUUAAAACUGUUUCCCACUCGAAAACUCCAUUUUGAAAACCGACUACCUCGAGGGGUAGAAAACCACGAUGUAUAAAUACACAAAUUCGAGAACUAACUAUCCAUAAAACCAAAACCACAAAUCCAUAGCUCUAGUUGCAUGCAAUGGAAAACCAACUCAACUAGUUCUGUCACGACUCGAGACCGCUACCAAUUUGGUCCGGUUUGGGCGCGUCGAACAGACGCCGAGCGGAUAGCACCUCCCCUGUCCGCCCAAGGCUAACCAACCAGAUCAUGUACAAGAAUUUGCCCAGGAAUAGAAAUUCUAUACAUACAUAAUCAACGAAGGACACAACAAGUGUGAACAACUAAGAGCAAGAGUCAUGAGUGCAUACAAGUGAACAAAAGAGAGAUUCACUAGCUAUUACACCACAUUGCAUUCAUUUACAUCAUUUACAUUACAUCUUUCCAAAAUGAAUACAAUUGCUACUAGGUCAUCAUCAAAAUACAUACAUAGCUCUCCAAUCCUCACCUACAUAAGUCUCUCAAUACAUAGGGUAAUGCUAAUGCAAAAUAGGAAAGCUACUAUGUACUACUGCUCGGGCGCGAUGCCCUUGCCGCGGUCCUCGCCCGACGUACUCGUACUAGGCCCUGCAACAAAGUGGGGUGAGAACUAUUGUCCAUAGUUCCCAGUGGGUUUGGCCGCCGACUCCACCGAUCUCCCCACUAGGUCCAGGUGGGCAAAGUAACAACAGAUAGAUAGAUAGAUAUGUAUCUGAAAGCUGUAAAUGCAGUAGUAGGAAAACCUAUGCUACUAUGCCCAAAUCAUGUGUAAUAUAUGCAUGCAUCAUAUAGUAAAUGGUUUACUAACAUGCCACUAUGUCCACUACAAUGUCCAAUAAGCAAAUGUUCGAUGACAGUGCUAUUCUCUUAUUUAUCCAAUCUUUGGCGAUCCCUUAGGUUCGCCCACGACUCACCUCGCCAUCCCGUAUGGUAAGGAGACUCACCUCGCUCUCAAACUCGGGACUGUCUGCGGGAUAUCAACUCUGCCCCUCUCGUACCAUACUCCGGAGUGCACGACGACUUGUGUGGCGCGACCACUACAAGUAUAAACAGACUGUGAGCUUGAUCCAUCCUCUCAACUCGAGGAUACCCAAUCAACUAGGGCUAGUAGUCACUCGGGAAUCCACCUAUCCCAAUGUCCAUGUGUAAGUGUUUAACUACACUAUGUUCUCUGUCCAACGAGUCAUCACUAGGGAGUCCAUCUAUCUAUAAGUUCACAAACCACUAGUGUCACUUUACACUAAGUUAUAUGCCACUCGUUCUGUUCAUUUGUCAACCACAUGCCACUCAUUAUGUCAGUAGGAACCAUCGAGUCCAUCUCAUUUCCUUGGCACUAUAGGAUUCAAUGUCAUGACCCAAUCCUUACCUAUCCAUAAUACCAAGCAUUCAACUCACACUAUGAUAUCAAUUAGAAAGCAUAAGGAAUGGAAAACAAUGCAAUCCUACAAUGCAACAUGCAAGAGAUGUGAGAUCAUGGUAUACUAAGACAUAGAGAGGAACCCGGUUGCUUCGGAAUGACACCACCCACCUUUCGACGAUGUCGGGGUGCUAAGAACGCUAUUCGGCACUUGCUUCAACGUCGCUUCGACCUCCUAGGUGGAAACGAAGCUCGGUCGGUCUUGUUUUGCCGAUAACUUUUCACCGGCUCGACGAAUACUCAAUCUGUCUUCGCCAACGCGUUUAGACACCUAACAAUUAGGUUUAGAUGCUAUCAAUUUAGAUCAAACCUCACUAUUUAACAAAACCCCAAUUUGGAGCCCUAGGUUUGCAUCUAUGCAAUACACCUCAUCAAAGCUCUAGAUUCUAAUAUUAAUCAACUAUUAAGCAUGCUAGAACCCUAACCAAACCCAUUCUAGAGCUAAAAAUCCAAGCCCUAGGUUUCUACCAUCGAAGAGUUUAGAAGCUUACCUCCUAAGCUUGCUCCAAUGGUGAGAGAGGAAGAAGAAGAAGACCAAGGCCUUCUCUAGCUUGCUUCUCCUUCUUCUCCUUCCUUUCCUUCUUCUCCUUCUUCACUUCAAAAGAGAGGGAGAGAGAGAGCUUAAAGAGAGAGAGAGAAAGAGAGAGAGAUGUGUUUGGGUGUGGAAAUGAGGGCGGGAGAGAGUAAUCUCCCAUCUAUACCCCUCACUAAUGUCACAAUUGCCUAAUAGCCCCUCCACUUUCUCUCACACUGCCCAAAUUGGGCAAUUUUCGAGCUCGGGAAUCGGUCUGUCCCUAGAGGGACCGGUCCCUGAGUGUAAGAUAUGAAUCCCGAGGAUCUAAAAGGUAAGUAACACCUAGAGGGGGGUGAAUAGGUGUAAAAACGGCAAACUCGAAAAUCUCGAUGCAAAUGAAACAAAGUAGCGGAAAAUAAAACAGCACAUCAAGAAUUUAACGUGGGAAAACUCCAAACGGAGUGAAAAACCCACGGGACCGAUCACGCGAAGAAAAUUCAUUAAGAAAACUUGAGUACAAGUGAUUUUGACAAAAAUACACGACUCAAUUUAUCGAAUUCCCGUUGAUGGUGAUCUUUGCCGGUCCUCGAUCGAUAGGAAUCCUCCAACCGAUCCUGCUGCAACUCCUUGCAAUGUCAACGCCUCAAUUCCUCGAAGCGUCCACCGAAUCCUCGGCUUCACGCGGGAUCCACGCGCCAAACCUCCUUCCGGAGCUAGUAGAAUCGAAGAUUUGUAGUGAUUUAAUCUUUGAAUCCCAUAAGCUAUGAGGGUUCGUCUUCUAAUCAAACAUCAACUCGAUUCUCGAAUAAGAUCUCAAGUAAAAUCGAAGAACCAAGUCGAAUGUUGAUUUUUUGAAACUAGUUAUGUGAAUAGAAGCGGAAAAACAAGUUUCUAGGGUUUAGAAAUAGUAAAUAUUCAAAGCCUUAAACUUUAAGAUGAUCCCCAUAGCUUAUUUAUAUGUUUAGAAAACUUAGAAGUAGACUAGGAUUGCAAAAAGUCUUUUUUAAAAACAUAUGUCGUCCUCAGAGACCGGUCCUCUCGAGGAGACCGGUCUGUGAGAGACUGGUCUCUCAAGUGAGGAACCGGUCCCUCGCUACGUGUUCAAAAACACAACGUUCGGGAACCGGUCUCUCAAGCUUGAGACCGGUCCCUCGCUGCGCGACAGAAUUACCAAGGUUCGGGAAUCGGUCUCUCAUCUCAGGGGACCGGUUGCAUCAAAACUCACGCAGUGAGGACCUUAGGGGAACCGGUCUCUCCAACUCAGGGACCGGUCCCAGAACACAGAAAAGUUCAGUAAAAUAGUUUUAAAGCAAUCUAAGCCUUCUGAACUUAUUCUAAUUAAGUAUCUUCACCACAAAUGAUCUUAUCUUCAUACCUUAGGUGCCGAACUUUACGAAUGGAUCUUUGUUCUUCAAUUUGAAUCUUUUUUUUAAAAACUUCCGCGAUCAACUCUUCAAGACUCCAUUCAACAUUAUGAAAUUCGCCAACCUAUAAAAUCCUUAACAAUCUCCCCCUUUGGCGAUUUCGUGACAAAAUAUACUACAAUGCUCGUACACAACUUAGAAACAAUGAAAAGAAGAUCAUCGCAAUCACCAAACGAUAAUCUCCUGCAUGGUCGAUCCAAUAAACGAAAAUUACAAUUUUCAUACCUUAACACAGACUCUAUGACUUAGACAUGGAGUCUUGAAGUCUUGAAUUAUUCCUGCAAAAAUAUUCUUAAAACAAAAAUCAAGAUUCAAGUAUACUUAUCAAGAUCAAACAUAAACGUCAAAAUAGUACCAAGUUAUAGUUCAUAGUCAAGCACCUAAGCAAACAUCUAAACUAAAUUUACACAACUAAACACAACUAAACAAAGUUCAACUAAACAAAGUGCAUCAUCUAAGCUAAAUGCGUCAUCAUCAUCUAAAUGCGUCAUCAUCAUCAAGAACUUGCGUCAUCAUCUAAAUGCGUCAUCAUCAUCAAGAACCAUCAUAUCAUCUCCCCCUUUUUGUCAGAAAGCGCCAAAAUGACAAAAGGAGGAACCCCGCAACAUCUAAUAUGAAGCAUCUCCUGGAGGUAAAUCUGCUCGGCAACAUCCUAACUUGUCAAAAAUCAUAUUUAAUAACCGCUUCAUCUUGCUCACAUCCUUCCGUAUCGCAGCUUGCUCCUCAGACAGUUUCUGAAGCUCUUCAGAUAAACGUUGUUGCUCACGAUACACAGAGGAAACUGAGAUAUCUUCCUCUGAAAUGUCCAUAGAAGGACGGGAAGAAGUAGCAGUUGCAGGAGGUGGAGCAGCAGAGGGGAAGAAGCGCGCUGAGACGGAGUACGAAGCUGCACCGAGGACUUCACAAACGUCCUCUCAUUGAUCCGACCCAGGCUGUGCUCAUAAGAUGUACAACGAACAUCCACGUCAUGAAGUUGCAGAAUCCUCAUGAUUAUCAAUGGAAAUGGCAGCCUUUCAUUUUGUCCCGAAGUCUUGAUAUCCUUUGCCAUUCUUCGCCAGAUUAGAAACGGAAUAUUCAUAUUAAUAUUUUUGGCACUUACAAUAUCCGGUCUACCCAAGAGAUACAUGUAUAGGAUGCGAUCCCAUCUCAAAAUCUUCGUGUUUGCAAGAGGCAAAAUGUUGUAGCAAACCACGAAAUUCAAAAACCUGUACUCCAUUUUGAAAUUUUUGGACAUAACCAUAAUGCCAUUUGAUUUAGUACCCGGCGUACAAAUAGUGUUCACGAUACGGUUCCAAUCCUGAAGGGAGUCAAACCCAGCUUGCAGAUACUCCACUCCUCAGUCCUUGCUUCCAUUCCUAGCACAGACGCUAUCAUGUCGGGAGUAAUUGAUAACUCAACACCACAUACGGAAGUAGUGAAGACGUACGGGCCGCCGUCGGAAUCACUCAAGUGACCUGCUCUCAUAUAGAAUUCUCUGAUCAACUCUAAACAGAAACCAGUUUGUUCCGGAAAAUCACAAAUCUGAUGAAGAUUUUCUUUUUCAAAUAAAUCCUGAAAUCCCGGCACACAGCUAAUAAUACUGGCAACGCCAACAUCGCGUUCACCAAUACAAUGCUUCGACGAGUACAUUGACCGUUGAGCAGACGGAACAUCUUGCAGACUGUGACGCGGUGGCUCAGAACCUGGUUCUCGAAUUUCAACACCACCAGACUUGCGACGACUGUCAGAUGCCUUUCCUUUUCCUUUUUCCUGAGCUUUGCCUUUCCCUUUUUCAACAGCUUUUCCUUUGCCUUUUCCCUUUCUUGUAUCCUUUUCCUUAGUUAACACCUCUGGAGAAAAGCCUCCCAGUCCGGCUCGUCCUCCUCAGCCUCAGAUUCAUCACCUGGAGCAUAUUCACUCCCUUCAUCUUCCGGUUGAAGCUCAACCGGCCGUUUAGCCGCGGAGCGCUGACGUUUGCUUUCGUGACCACCCCCAGCCAUAAGGACCACAAGUAUAAGAAUCCACGAGUACAUUUUGAAGAAAUGCCCUGUUAAACAUAAUGAUUUUUACAUAUGACACAUAAGAACACUUAAUUUUUAAUUCCAAAAAUUUUCAGCAAAUUGGUAUAUAAAAGCUAGAUAGUCCUAGGGGCCUCAAGAUCAUGAGAAACAAGAACAAAACAUGCACCAAAAUCAGCCAAAAACAAAUUUUCACAGAAAUUUUGAAAAAAUAAUUUUGAUCAUGAAAAACCUAAAAAAAAUGAACUAAAAAGAUGAAGAAAUGCAAGAAAAGAUGAAAACAUCAGAUCUAAGAACAAGAUCGAAGCAUAAACGUGCAUAAACAGCAAGAUCUCUAGAACAAUCAUAAAAAUAUCUGAAUCAAAGCAUAUUUUUGGAGUAUAUGACACAAAAGCAACAAAAUCCGAAAAUCAUAGCUAAAAUCAGUGCAAAUCGAAGAAGAUCGGGAGUAAUCCCACUCUGGAGACAAGAAAGGAGCAAGGGAGAACGCAGGGAACAACAAAAACAGGUUUGAAGCAGUAAAAAAAAAACAUUACGCGAAAAGCCCUUUAGGACACAUCGAACAAGAAACCCUUUUAUCGGGUCGGGCGGAGGGACUGGUCUCUCCUGCCUGGGACCGGUCCCAGAGCCCAGAAUGUUUUAAAAAUUUAAAAUAAGCACCAAAAAUUCCAGAAAAAAUAUAAGUUAUUCCACAAUAUUCAACCAACAAAAAUAACCAAUUUUCAUCCCCAACAACUUCAAAUAAAAAUUCAUAAAUAAAUUUUGAAAAAUCAAUUUCAAGGAUACUCAAUUUGGCAAAAUUGUUGACCCGAAAAUCAAUUACAAUUCUAGAUACAUAUAAAAUAAAAUUCUACACAUCAUGCAAGACCUAGGAAUUAAUUGUAUCGAUUUAUCAUCAUAUUUGUUAAAGAAAAUGUAUAAAUAAUUCUCAGAAUCGUGAAAUUAAGAUAAUAUUUUCAAAUUGAGUUAUGCACAAUAUUCAAGACAGGAGUGGCUCUUUGAGCAUCUUUUUAUUAACAUUCCACCUUAUAUCACCUACAAGAUGUAAAACUCUUUGAGCAAUUUUUUUUUUUUAUCUCGGAGAGGUACUUUCCUUUUGUCUCAUGGAGAUACUUUAAUCAACACGUGGUAGCUGCACACACUUACCGGACGACCGGGGUGGUAGCUCUUUCCUCCAUGUGGUGGUAGUUUUCACACUCCCAGCAGGGAUGUAACUCUUUCCACAUCUUGAAUUUCAGAAAUUUUCAUUACCAAAAUCGAAAAAACUCCCCCUAAAUUAGUUCAUCUUAUAACGAAUAAUCAAACAAACAAUUGCAACAUUCAAAGUUCAAAGCAUGAGGUGUUGAAUUUGAUUUAGUAUGCUAAACAGAAUUUCAAUGAUUUGAUCGUUCAAAAAUUAUGACAAAAAAGAACAACCUUGACAGUGAUCAAUCAAAAAUUAAAUAUGAAAUAAUUAAAAUCACAGACCAAUUCAUCUCCCAAAACAACAACAUUAUUUAAGAAAUUCAAUCAGCUCUCAAGCAUAAUCAGGAAAUACCGGAAACCAUGCACAAAAACAAAAUGCAACAUGCACAUGACUUAUAGCCCAAAAGAGUAUAUCUAGAUUGAAGAAUUCAUACCAAUUGCCUUUCUUAAAUGCAGAAAACGUUUUUGAUCCAAAGGUUUGGUUAAAAUAUCUGCAAGUUGAUUUUCAGACGAAAUAUAUUCAAGUUGUAGGAUGUUUGAUUCAACCAGUUUUCUUAAAAAGUGAUAUCUUAGUUCAAUAUGUUUUGUUCGAGAAUGUAAAACAGGGUUUUUAGAAAUAUUUAUUGCACUUGUGUUGUCACACAGAAUAGUAAGGGAGGUGGAAGGUAUUCGAUAGUCGCUCAGUAAACUUUUCAUCCAAAUCAAUUGAGUAGAGCAACUCCCGGCCGCAAUGUAUUCAACUUCUGCAGUGGAAAGAGCAAUACAGUUUUGUUUCUUACUGUGCCAAGCAACCAGGCAGUGUCCAAUGUAGAAACAAGCUCCACUUGUACUUUUCCGAUCAUCUGCGGAGCCUGCCGAGUCAGCAUCUGAGUAGCCGAUUAGAUCAAGGGAUGUUCCUAUAGGAUACCAGAGUCCAUAUGUGGUUGUAUCUUUAACGUACCGAAUGAUCCUUUUAACUGCUUUCAGAUGAACUUCCUUAGGGUUAGCUUGAUAGCGAGCACAAAUUCCAACAAUGAAAGCAAUAUCUGGUCUGCUCGUAGUUAAGUACAAUAGGCUUCCAAUCAUGCUUCUGUAUUGUUUCUCAUCCACACUCUGUCCUUCCGAAUUCAUUCCAAGUCCUUUGUUAUUUGUACCCAUCGGAGUGUCAAAAUCCUUUGCACUGUUCAAUCCAAAUUUCUUAACCAAAUAUUUCGCAUAUUUGGAUUGACACAAGUGAAUUCCAUCUUUAGUUUGUUUAACUUGAAGUCCAAGGAAAUAGUUAAGCUCCCCCAUCAUUGACAUCUCAAACUCACUUGUCAUCAAUUUUGCAAAAUCAUUGGCAUCCUUAUCUCUAGUUGCCCCGAAGACUAUGUCAUCAACAUAAAUUUGUGCCACAAUGAAAUCAUUCUUUAAGUAUUUUACAAAGAGAGUUCUAUCUGCUCCCCCUCGGUUAUAGCCCUUUUCCAAAAGAUACUUUGUCAAACGCUCGUACCAUGCUCGCGGAGCCUGUUUUAGUCCAUAAAGUGCCUUUUUCAGUCGAAAAAUGUGAUUUAAAAAUUUUGAGUCUAUAAAGCUUUUCGGUUGUUCAACAUAAACUUCCUCUUUUAAAAAUCCAUUUAGAAAAGCACUUUUAACAUCCAUUUGAAAAAGAGUGAUUUUAAAAUGACAGGCAAUCGCGAACAAGAUACGAAUUGAUUUAAGACGGGCAACCGGGGCGAAGGUUUCAUCAAAGUCUAUUCCCUCAAUUUGUAAGUACCCCUAAGCAACAAGUCUCGCUUUGUUUCGAACAAUAGUACCAUCCUCAUUUUUCUUAUUCUUAAAGAUCUAUUUGGUACCUAUUAUGUGCUGUUGCUCAGGACGUGGCACCAAUUCCCAUACAUCAUUGCGAACAAAUUGACCAAGUUUUUCUUGCAUGGCAUUUAUCCAAUAUUCAUCACAUAGAGCUUCGUCGAUAUUCUUUGGCUCGAUCAAAGAAACAUAACAUGCAAAUUCACAUUGUAGUUGACUUCUUGUUCGCACACCAACAUUAGGGUCUCCAAUUACAUUCGAUAAAGGAUGAUCUCUUGACUCCGUCAGGGGUGUAGUGUCAGGAGUGAUGCUAGGGAUUUCAGAUGACGUGCUUUGAGGCUCAGAUGAAUCAUUUGAUGCAACAUUUUCAGAAGAUGCAGUGGAAUUAUCAAGUGCAGAAACAUCAUCAUUCACAGGCAAUACAAACGGAGAAUCAUUAUCAUCAUCAUUCACCAAGGAAGUAGAAGAACCAUUCACAGAAAAACUUACAGAAGAAGCUUCAUCUACUUUUAUAUUGAUAGAUUCUAUCACCGUCUUAGAUCGUAAAUUAUACGCACGAUAAGCACGACUUGUAGUAGAAUAACCAAGAAAAAUCCCUUCGUCACUUCGAAAGUCAAAUUUUUCAAGAUUUUCACGAUCCCGAAGGAUAAAACAUUUACUCCCGAAGACACGAAAGUAUUUAAUAUUAGGUUUCCUACCAAGCCAAAGUUCAUAUGAAGUAUUCAAAGUACCCGGGCANGGCGCACGCGUUCGGGAACCGGUCUCUCCCCGGGAGACCGGUCCUCGGGAGACCGGUCCUCACCUGAGAGACCGGUCCCCGAGAGCUUGAUUUUCAGGACUUAGCCAAUUUUGGCAUCUCACGCUGGGGCCACGUUCGGGAACCGGUCCCUCACCACCAGGGACCGGUUGCAUCGCGCAACCCCGCAACACCCAGCCGAGGGAACCGGUCUCUCACCUGCAGAGACCGGUCCCCGAGAGCAACUUCUGCCCAAUGAUGCCAUUUGCCUCAUUUGCUCUCGCGGACUCAACUCCAAGGCACUUUUUGUACUUUGGAUAUUCUCAACUCCCACAAAGGGUAUACUUUCGACAAUUAGUCGAUCCUGGAUGAAGUACAAUCCUCGCAUUUCGAGAAUUCACUUCCUUACACUAGCCAACAAGGCUUAGCGACCACUCACAGAGCAAACAAACACUGUCGGAAGAAAUCUGAAGGGAAACUGCGUUCUUUCGGCGAAUUUUGCCGAAAAACGCACCGAAAUCGACUUUCGAUUUUCGCGAAGGCUAACAGACCUUGGACAAUCAGUCCAGAGGUCACCACUCACACAUACACACUGCCCAUAGUUGCCACAAGGUGCACAAAUGCACAAAAGGACUAACCAAAGUUCUGCGAACAGCGCGCAGUCUGGGAAAAUCGCGCCGAACAGGACUAACCGAACUCUGUUGAUCCAAAGUGAGAUGAGCAUUGUGAUCAGCACUGAACAACGAUCACCGUGCUCACCUCCAGUGGCAUCAGGACAGCCUCGGAUCACCGAAAAAGUGUGCGCAAUCCCAAAACAGCAGCCAAAAAGGCCCUAACAGGGCGACACCACUAAAACAGCUGAACGGAGCCUUCCCGGCAGAAACUAAGGUAAGCACGAUGAUCAGCAAUUUUCCACGAUCAUCGUGCUCCCUUCCGCAAAGAUCGGGGAUGCUCGGGUUGCUCGGAAUAGCAAACAGCCAAGGAAUAGCCCUAUUUCGGGCUUGGUCGGAGCAAGCUUGCUCCGGCCGGCUUCCGGCGGCACGGCGACAUGCGCGCUGGCCAGAGGUGGGUGCGGGGGAUGGGAGGAGCAUAGUGCUCACCUAGAUCGGCGGCGGGGAGCGUCGGUGUCGGCGGCGACGGCGAGAUGACAAGAGACAAGCCCGCACGUUCUAAAGCUCGGGUUCUAGAGCAGCUGCGGCCACAGCGGCGGCCGGGGCACCUCAGGCCGGCGGCGGGGGGUCGCCUGAGGUCGACGGUAGGCGUCACGGAUGGCCCCGGGCGGCGGCGACGCGAUGAUGGAGAUGGAAGGUCUGCUCGGCCUGAGCAGACCUGGGGCAGCUACGGGCUGGCCGAGGCGGCGACCAGCGGGGGUGGUUGCAUAGGCUCCGGGGAAGGUGGCCGGGGUUGUAACACACUGGACCUUUGCAAAUUGCGAGGUUCGAGUGUUUGGAUGUGUUUCGAGCUUUUCCACACUUGGUGGAGGGUCGUAGAAUGUUUUCCGACCUAAAAAGUUCGAAAACUGGAAUUCUGGAUAACUCCUGAGAGUUUUUACUCUCGGGGACCGGUCCCUGGAAGGAGAGAUCGGUCCCCCAGUGAGCAGUGCUGCGGCAGCCCUGAGGCAACCGGUCCCUGACGGGCGAGACCGGUCCCCGAGCGCGUCUUCGCAAUGAGAGACCGGUCCCGCGCAGGGAGAGACCGGUUCCCGAACGUUGGUUUUUCGGGUUCGCAGCGAGAGACCGGUCCCUGCUGGGGAGAGACCGGUCCCUCUGGGCGAAAAAUGCCCAGACCGGGCUGAUGCAAUAUUGGAUUUUUGGAGGGCCCAGCUGGAUUUUGUUACAAUAGAGGGUCUAUAUGACCCCUCCACCCUCUCUUCUCCUCAUUUCUCUUCUCUCAACUCUCUCCACACCCUUGAUAGAGAAGAAGAAGAAGAAGGAGAAGGAGAAGAAGGAGGGAAGGAGAAGAAGUUUGGAGUUACUAGUGGACUUGGAGCACCUUCCUCACCCUCUCAUCUUCCUUGGUGCUUGAAGGCUUGGACUUGGAGCUUGCAAAGGGGGAGAUCUUCAUCCUUGGAGCUUGGAUUGGAGCUUCUAAGGAGGUUUGUUGCUCAUUCCCUCCCUUUAGACCUUGGAUUUGAGGUUUUAUUGUAUUGGAACCCUAGAAAUGAGAUUUAGGGUUGAUUUUGGGGCUUUUUGAUCUAGGGCUUUUGAGGCUAGAUUAAUUGGUUUAGAACCUUCCUUGGGCUUGGAUUGGAAGGGUUCUAGCUCUCUUUUGGAGCUUUGGAAGAGAUUUCUUCUCUUGAGGUGAGUUUUGGCCCUUUUUGCUUCUAGGUUAAUGUUUGAUCUUAUGGUUGGUCGUAAUGCCCUCGUAUCUCUUCGCUGAUCACUUUUAGGGUACUUUGAGACUCGUGGACAACUCCGUUCGACGAAUCGAAGGAGCACGCGACGGUUCGGUGGGUUUGACCUAGCCUAUGAUAUGAGAAAUGCUCAUAUUUGGCAAAUAUGUUUCGUAAAAUAGAAAUUCAUGCAUUUCCAUGUUAAAUGUAUUUAAUAUGAAUUUUAGAAUGCUUAACAUGCAUAUAUUAUGUAUAGUAAAAUUUUGGGCCUCUUGUAGUAGAGAGCAUGCAUGUGGGAUAUAGCAUUCUGGUUGAAAUUUGAAACUAAGAUCCCUAUUAUGAAAAUGAACAUUGCUUUCAUGCAUUUAGCUUAUUUACCAAUUGCGACAUUAGAGAUUUUUGGAAGCCUAGAGAGGCUUGAGGACUUAGACUAUUUGAGAGAUUGGGCCAAUUUCAUAAAGAGGCAUUGGGCCCGGGCUAAGUGAACCUCGCUAUUAUUGGUUUAAUUGGAAUAUGGAACAUGAAUUGGGCAUGAUUAGUUGUGAUGCUUAAGUGUCAUAAAGAGGCACUACGCGAGGGUGUGCGUUGGAGCGUCACUUUGAGACUUUGGACUAGAUCCUUGGGAUGCUAGUGGCCUUGCCAUGUGAGAGGCACGAGAGUAGAGUACUUGAGACUUUGACCUUGCUUGCUUGCCAUUUGUGCUCAUUCGCACAUGCUUGUGAGGGUCGCUCCCUACAAGCCGGCACUCCGGAGUUAGCCUACGCGACCUAUGUUCGCUCGUGCGGUAUUGAGAAGCCUACGGGGUCGAGUGGGACAGACACAUUCCAAGAGUAGGGAUGUUGGGCUACCACAGGCACUUAGGCGGCACAAGCUGGACUACCUUGGGUAGGUCCUUAAAUUGGAAAUGGAAAUCGACACGGUGUUGAAUAUGAACAAUCACUACUAGAUAGGAUUAGUAGUUGGAUUACUUGGACACGCUUAUGAUAUAGCAUUGGUACAUUUAGUAUACUUGCCGGUUUCAUUAUUGCAUCGUAGUAUACUCGGUUGUUUGGAUAGAGUUUACCCUUAUGCAUUGACAUAUUGCAUCGUGAGGUUUACUUGUUUAUUAUGUUGAGACAUAUUAGUAUGCAUCGGAUAUAUUACCUUAUGAUAGCGUAGAUGUACAUCACCAUGACAUCAUGCUUAUUGGAGACAUAGUAGUAUAGCAUUUCAUUCAUGCUUUCUUUCAGCAGUUUUCGUGUUCGCUAUUUAUUGCAUAUUACUAUAUGUCGUUACUUACCCUUUUCUUUUGGGGCCUAGUGGUGCAAUGAGCUGAGGUCAGUAAUUGCCCACUGGGAACUAUAAAUUAUAGUUCUCACGCCCUCUUUUUCUCGAUGUUUUUCAGAGCCUUCCACUCAGGGUGAGGCCAGGGACCGCGGGAAGGGAGUUGCUUCGAGCUAGCUUCCUACGAGGACGACUUGCUAGGUGGUCUACCUCUUGUUGUGCUUUAUUUUGGAGAGGUUGAGAGUUUUGCCAGUGUACUAGAGACCGCCAUUUUUGUAUUAGAGGCUGAUAUUGUAUAACUUAUGUCUACUUUUAUGUAUUAGUUAUGUUCUAUUACUAUUAGUAUAGAUGUUAGAACUUUACUCGCUCUGAUAUCAUUAGUUGCUUGUUAUUUCACUUCUUUUAUUUGUUCCAUUCCUUGCUUUUACUUCCGCUUUUCUUGUAGACGCCUUAUAUGUGUAGACAUAUGGCGGGUCUGGGCACGCUACUGGGAGGGCCUCCGCCGGUCCCGGGGCGUGACAGGGGUGGUCUCAGGCGGCGGCGGCGGGAGGGAAAGGAGCUGGGGCUACCUCGGCCUGGGCUAGGCCUAGCUAGCUGCAGGGUGCAGUAGCGGCAGCGGUGACACGUGGAGGCGACGCCGGUCGGCGGGGAGGGACGCCGGGGCUCCGGGACGACGCCGGCGAAGGGAUAGGAGGCAAUACAGCCUCGGGCCUCUUCUCAACCCGAGAGAAGAGAGGGAGAGAGAUGGAGAGGGAGGAAGAUGGUGGCUGCGGCUGCGGCUGCCGGCCGGGGCUCGGUCGGCGGCGGCCGACGCGUGCGCGGCAGAGCAGGGGAACAGAGGUGAAGGUGGCAGGGUGCGGCUAGGGCAGCUGAGGGCUCAACUAGGGUUAGGAUUCCAAGAAAAACCCUAGAAAACACUAUAUACAAGUCGGCUAAAAUGCAAAUAAGCCCUCCGAAGAUGGUUAAUUUCAACCAAGCCCUCUACAGCGCGAGUGAAACGCGUGAAUACACCUCCACAAUCAAAUUUGCGCGAAACGGCACAUAAAAUGUCGCAUCUUUCGCAAAAAUGCCGCUUUGCCAACUAAUACCCCUCAUCGAUCAACGCGCGAUAUCCGCAGAUCCGUCCGUCAGAUUUGCGAACGGAUCACGCCAGUGCGAUCAGCACAAUGGAGACAAGAAACCCGCCAUUUCGUUUCGCCUCGAUCAGUCGCGGAUUCACGACGAACCCCGCUCUCUCACCAGAAAGAAAAAUGACGCACAAAUACAUAUAAAACAUGUAUUUUCAGAUUUUCUCGAAAUCCGUACGUCAAAACCAAAAUCCGUCAGUACCAUCGGGUCUAGAAUAGCUGAACCAUUCAAAACGAGCUAUUGGACCGCUAUGAACGGAAUCCGAUACGCGCUCGAAACCAACUUCACACCGUGGCUUCUCUAGAAAACUGAGUUACCAUUCACUUUAAGUGAAACCUGGAGCUCGCGUAAAAUCUUCGUUCUAACUCGUUUUCUCCCGAAACUUGACGAGUGCUUUUGUAAUUAAAUUACACAUAAAAAUAUCGUCAACAGAGAGUCUAACUAUACAAUCAAAUUUUAGUCCUUACAUAACCGGUAAGAUUGGAUAAAAGCCAAAGAAAAAUUAUGGAAAAAGUAUGCAUGCAUAAUCAUCCUUUAUUUGAUUAUAUAUCUACUGACAGUUUUUUUGCAGGCAUAGUAUUAGCAUUAGUUUGGCUACUAUUUCUCUUUCUUUGAAAUACUUAUGCCUAAAUAGACCUAGUGGGUAAGUCGGUGAGGUCGGUUGCUGAACUCACUGGGAACUUCGUUGUAGUCCUCACACCACUAACCCUACAGAUCUGAGCGCGAGUGGGGUGGCGGAGAAUCGAGGCAAGGGUAUUGCACCAUCGCUAGUGACCACCGGAGUACUUGCAUAUAGUCAUUCCCUUUUUGGUUCAUGUAUCAACUUUCUUUUGUUGAUUUAGAAAUGUAAAAGUUGUAAACAUUCAUGUAUUUUGGGAGAAUGAUUAUGAUAUAAAAAGAUAUUAUGAAUGAAAGGAAAUGAAUGUAAUAGUUUUAGUUACUAGUAUUUUGUUUAAAUGUAAUCAAAUAUUUUGUAUGGUUGUAUGUUGUAGCUUAGAGCUUUCGCUUCCGUUGUUGCUUGCCCUCGUGCAAGCCUUAUAUAAUUGCAAAUCUCUUUGUUUGAUUGCUUAAUUAUACUUGAUGCUAGAGCCUUGGGCAGGCAGGGGAGGCCCUGUCUGUUCAGCGUCUGUUGACGUGGCCCAAAUUCGACCAAAUUGGCGGGGAGCGGGGCGUGACAUGUCAAGCCUCAAUGCUACAUAAACCCAGGAAGCAUGCAAUAAUGGAAAUGCAACUAUCUCCUCACCCUAUCAUGCAUAAUGCUAAUAUGUGAGAAUAUGAUCAACAAUGUAACUUAGACAUAGAGGAAAGCCCAACUGCUUCGGGAUGACACCACCUACCUCUUAACGAUGUCGCGACUCUAAACUCCGAGUUUCGCGAUUUUAGGACGUCGCCUCGGCCCUCCAAACGGAAACAAAGCUCAAACUGUCCUUCUUCUUCGAUAUCUCCGCGCAACUCGUCGGGUUGCCGAACCGAGUUCACCGGCGCGAUAGAAAACCUAGCAAUUAGGGUACAAGAGAUCAAUUUCUACUUUGGACCCCAUUUGGACAAAACCCUCUUUGGAACCCCAGCCUACAACUAUUGCAAGAAAACACAAAUACAACCUUAGAUUCAUGCAAUAAUCAUCUAUCUAGCAUCAAAGGGUUUCAUAAAAAUCAAUCCUAGAGCAUAUAAAGCUAACCCUGGAGAUCUACCAUAAAUGGACCUCAAGCUUACCUCCAAAAGCUUGCUCCUAGGUGAAAAUGAAGAAGGAGAAGAUGUUAAUCCUUCUCUUUGCCUUAAUCUCCACCAAUCCCUCUACUCCUUCCACCUUUGAGAGAAAGAGAAUAAGAGCUUUAGAGAGAGAGAGCUAUGCUUUAGGUUUAGGUUGAAUAAAAUGAGAGAGAAGAGAGAGGAGUGCCCUCAAGUAAUCCUCAUAAUGCACAAUUGCCGAAAACCCCCUCAACUAUGCAACUUAUUUAACUGCCCAAACUGGGCAUUUUUCGGGUACGGGGUCCGGUCUCUCUCUAGAGGGACCGGUCCCCGAGAGCAAAUGUUGUGCGUAGUAUUAUUCUGCCACUUUCUGUGCAUAUGGGAACCGGUCCGUUCUGCGAGGGUCCGGUCCCCGAGAGCACAAAAAUUCUACAAUUUGCAGGAUUUCAUUCUCUUGCUCUCCAAGGCCCUCUACAAUACAUUAAAGCCGCCUUGGACGCCUUUGGCCUUUCCGAAGCGUCCCGAACUCGCCUUCGAUCAAUUUUGAUCGAAGUUCUAGAUUUACAUAUCGAGUUUUCAUUUCCUUACACCUAAUCCGUGGAGAGCACAGGUAGAGCUCCUCUCCCUUGGAUUUCUCUCUUUUCUUGAGGUUUUUUUGCUUGGUUUGAUCUCUCUUUUCCUCUUAUCUUUGCUUCAUGUUUGAUUUUCACCAUUGGAGAAGCCUUGGAUUGGAGAGUGGAGUUUUCUUGAGGAUUAAUCUUCAACCCUAGUUCAUUUUAAGCUUGGAUUGGAGCUUGUGAAGAGGUUAGUGCCAUAGAUCUUCUCUUUAGAUCUUGUUUUUGUGGAAUUUUUGAGAUGGAAACCUAGAUGAGAAAUCUAGGAUUUUUAUUGGGGGUUUUUGAUUUGUGGCUUUUGGGACCUAAUUGAUAGGUGUAGAACCAUCUUCUAAGUUGGAAUAGAAGGGCUCUAGCUUUCAUUUGGGAUUUGGGAAGGUUUUUCACCAUACAAGGUGAGUUUUGCCCUUUUCUUGGGGUGGUUAAUGUUAUGCUCAUGUAGUGUUCGUUCAUUGCGUCUAACCCUCUUAGAAUCUUUCUUAGGGAGCUAGGAGACUUGUGGAUAUCUUCAUUAGCACAAACGAAGGAAAUCCGAGGAGUUCUUGGUGGGUUUGACCUCACCGAAAUGAGUGAACUCCCCUUAUGUUAUACUCUUUAUUGAAAAAUGGAAAAUCGUGCAUAAUCAUGUUAGAUAGAGCAUAUGUGAAUUUUAGAAUGCUUAAAAUGCAUACAUUAUGUAUCAUGAAAUUUUACCUCUAUGUAGUAGAGAGAUAUGUACAUAGUAAUCAUGCAAGUGAGGGGCAUUCUUUCAUGUGGCUUGAAAUCAUGUUUCAUUUAGUAAAAAUGAUAAGUAUAACAUGCUCUUGUACUUAGAAUUCAUGCAUGACAUAGUGGACAUUAACGUCAUAAAGUGGCAUUGGACUUGGAACAUAUAUUGACAUAGUAAACCAUAAUGUCAUGAAGUGGCAUUGGACUUAGUAAACGGCUAAACUUUCACUCUAUGACAUAGAACUAGACUUCUGGGGUUGCUAGUAUUUACACCAUGUUGGACAUGAUGACCGGGUCCUUGAGAUGAUGAUCAUGUUUGCUUGCCAUUGGUGUUCAUUCGCAUAUGCUUGUGAGGGUCGCUCCCCACAAGCCGGCACUUCGGAGUUGGCCUACGCGACAUAUGCUCGCUCGUGCGAUACUGGGUAGCCUACUGGGCCGGCGUGGGAUAGGCUCAUUCCUAGAGUAGGAAUGUUGGACUACCACGGGCAAUUAGGCGGCACAAGCUAGACUACACUUGUGUGGGUCCCGAGUUGAGAUUGGAUAGUGACAUUUAAACCAUUAGUAUGACAAUCACUACUUGGUAGUAGAUAGUAGUUGGAUUCUUUGGAUAUGUUUUGUGCAUACUAUUGGACAUUUGGUGACAUACUUGGACACAUUAGUAUACUUGAUAGACUUGCUUGGUGCAUAGUAGUAUCCUUGUUGGACAUGUUUUAGAGCUUAUUAGUAUACUCAUUGGAUAUACUCAUUCAUGAUAGAAUAGUAAUACACUCGACGGACAUCAUGCUUAAUUGAGACAUAGUAGCUUAGAAAAAUUAUAUUUGUUAACUAUACCUAUUGUUUUUUUCAGCUUCUUGUUCUACUUUUGCCUCUAUAGCCUAAUGGUGUAUUUCGCUGAUGUCGGCGGCUUACCCACUGGGAACUAUUGUUUAAUAGUUAUCACGCCUUCUAUGUUGUUGUUUUUAUUUUAGAGCCAUCCGCACUGGGAGAGGCUAGGGAUCGUGGCAAAGGGGUCGCGUCUAGCUCGAUAGCGGAGUUCAUUGCUACUUGGUGGUUAUCUCUCCUUUUGUAUAGUUGGAGAGAGUGAUUUUUGUACCCGUUAUAUAGAGACCACCCUUUUGUAUCUUGUUGUAUCUUUGUGGAUCUCUUGAUGUACCUAACUUUUGGAAUUAUUGAUAGUUGUUUAGUUGCAUUUGCUUCCAUUUGUUAUUAGUAUUUUAGAUGUUCUCAUGCUCUGAUAUCGCACUAGAUGUUUUAUCUUCUUGCUUUCAUAUGUUAUUGUUGUAAACGCCUUAUAUGUGUAGGCAUAUGGCGGGUCUGGACACGCACCGGGCGGGCUUCCGUUGGGCCCCGGGGCGUGACAUAAUACAUGUAUAUAUUCUCAAUAAAAGGGAAUUAGACAUAGGGAGAAAUCUAACCAUACCGGAUAGCACCACCCACCUCAUAUCGACGUCAAGAAGCGAGAAAUUAAGUCCCGCAAUUUACCGUUGCCGUUUUAGCUCGACCCAAGCCUAACAAACCAAAUUCCGCAAAUCUCUCAAUCGGACGCUGUAACCUCGUCGUAAUCCAAAACGAAGUUGUCCUCCGCGUCGAAUUAUCCUUCAAUUAAGGUUUUACAAGAUCAAUUUGAUUCAAAACCUCUUAGAGACAAAAGCCUCAAUUCUAACCCUAGAUUCAUGAAUCCUCAAGAACACCAAAAUCCAUAAUAAACCUUUAACCAAUCUAGUUUAGAAUCAUCUAGGGGUCCUAGACAUCUCAUUUACAAAAGAUUUAAUCCAAACCCUAGCUUAAAUCACAAAACUCACCAUGGCCAUCUUGGAAAAGAAGCUUAAUCCACCAUUGGAGAGCUCCUUCAAGCUUCUUCUCUACUUGACAUUUCCAAAAUCUCCAUUUCUUUUCUCUUUAAUGGAGAAAUUACAAGAGAGGUAGAGAGAGAGAUGUGAGGUGUGAGCUAGAGGGAAAGAAAGAAAGAGAGAAGGCUCUCCUUUCUCUCUCUCUCUCUCGGGUUGGACCAGAACAAAGGGGAGAAGGCAAUUGUUACACACAUUGGGCCCCUCAACCAUUACAACUUACAAUUUAGUCCUGUUCAGAUCUGAUACUUUUUGCCAGAGCCCUUCUAAAUAUCUGUUUCUUCUCAAAUUUGACAGUCAGGCUCGGUUAAAAUCAAUUAGAAGAACGUGAUCUUAACUUUUUAGUUUUGAACCAUUUUUUGUCACCGAAAGCUCUACCGAUUAAAAUCUCUAUCAGAUAACAGUUAGAUUUUGUUUUCCAUUUUUUGGGUGUCGGAAUGACAUGAAACUUUAAAUCUAGCCUCAGAAAAAAUAAUUCCGACAUAUUCUCAAAUUUUCUUAAUUUUCUGACACUGUAAAUUUUUUGCUAAAAGAUUAGACCCGUUCCUCACAGAAAAAUUCAAAUCUUCUGUUUCCACUCCAAUUUUAGCACAAGUCACAGUCCAAUAAAAAUAGUAUCUUACACUAUUUUUAUUUACACAUACUUUUAUAUUAAAAAUCUGGUACAUUACAUACAAUCUCUUCUCACUCUCUCUUGAUCUCUCCCAAACUUGAGGUUUUGGUGGAGAAGGAGCUCGGGAACGCGUAGAGAGCGGUGGAUCGACCCCUCGGGCACUCGGUGGUUCAGCGCGCCUUCGCCUCGAGGUUCAUGUUUGGUUGAGAAUUUAGGGUUUUGAGUUAUCCCUUUAAGAAUGAUGUUCUAGAGAUCCCUAGAUGAUUCUAAACUAGUCUAACCUAGAUUUCUUCAUGAUUUUGGGGUGUUUUGGAGAUAUGGAAAACUAGGUUUUGGAAAUUGGGGGUUUUGCGGUUUAAGGGUUUUGAAUCUAAUUGAUCUCCUAAUUCUCUAAUCGAAGGAUAGAGGAGAGCCUCGGACAACUCUAAGUUGGAAUUCGGUGAGCGUUCGGUGGUCGAUUGCGAGUUCGAGUUGAACCAGGCGACGUGUGCCGCGGGAGCCUUAUUGCAAGUGUUUACAAGCAAUCAGAAGUGUUGUGAGGUGGGUUGUGCUUCACCAAGUGAUUAGGUCACUUCCAUGCCAAAGAGUGAAGUAUGGUUUUGGUAUUAUUGUUGAUGCAUGUAAUGGUAGUUUAAUUGCAAUUAUAAAUGCAUGAGAUAUAUGCUAAGUUAUAUAUUGACUACCAUUAGACAUGGACAUAGGCAUGAGCAAACAUAUAGGAUGGGUGUAUAUGUAUGUCUAGAUGUGUAACACACUGGACCUUUGCAAAUUGCGAGGUUCGAGUGGUUGGUCGUGUUCUGAGCUUUCCCAGAUUUCUGGUAGGUCGUUGACUGUGUUCCGACCUAUGGCACAUGUCCCGAGGAGUGUGGUACGAAGCCUUGCACCAAAACCCAAAAAUUUGGAUUUUGGUCAGCUCUCGGAUUGGCUGUCUGGCGGGCUUGUACCGGUACAAGGUUGUGCUUGUACCGGUACNUUUCCUUCUUUUAUUUGUUCUAUUUCUUGCUUUUCUUCCGCUUUUAUUGUAGACGCCUUAUAUGUGUAGACAUAUGGCGGGUCUGGGCACGCCACCGGGAGGGCCUCCGCCGGUCCCGGGGCGUGACAAGAUGUGAAUAUUGAACUUAGGUCGAUGAACUCUAGGAAGAUUAGAGAACUCGACGAGUGUGGCACCAAGGACUAAAUGGCAUGAAAACUAUGAAUCCUAGAUAUAGAUAACUAGGAUAAUAAGUGGUAUGAUUCGACAUGAAACCCAGUGUCAUUGAAUAUAGGUGGAACAUUGAACCUAGAGUCGGGUGGACCUAGGUUAGUAAGGACAUUGGACCUAGUGUUGUAGAAACUAGGUUGUGAACAUAGUGGUAUUGAACCUAGUGUUAUUAAACAUAGGUUGAGAAACAAAGUGGCAGGAUGACCACUAGGAUAUGAAUGGUUUGAACCUAGAAAGGUUGACAAGAUAGGGUACAUGAUUAACCUUUGAGACUUGGAAAGUGGAUUCCGGAAUCUCUAGGAUUGGUGGCUGCGAGUACGUGUGGUUUUCCUCGCUCGGCAGCAGAUGAUACUUGCGGGUAUAGGCAAGUGAAUCAUAACUGCAGGUAUGUGUGGUUCUCCUCGCCCGGCAGUGAUUCAACGGGUAUGUGUGGUUCUCCUCGCCGGUAUGCGACUUGUGGUCAAGGGUUUGAUGGUAUUUCCUCACCCGAUGGAUGACCUAUAGAUGAGUGGAUUAAAAGCUGAGGUGCAUGUGAGGCUUGCCUCCCCUCAGGCCUGAAUAUGAGCGGUAGUCCGCUAUUGAUUGACUCGAGAGUGAAUCGGGUGGUUAGCUUGGUUAAGGUAAGACAAACCUUAGGAGCAAAUGGUAAAUGGUAUGGAUUAUGGAAUAGAAAGUAGAAUCAGUGGAUCUACUUGCAUUGGUUGCAUGAGUUGCAUUGUUGCAUUUCUAUGAGGCAUAAGCAUGAUAGCGGUUAGUUCGGAUCACCAUAAAAACAUGAAACUCUUCAAGUGCAGCGUCGUGGAUUCGACGUGAUCGAAGGCGGUUCGUGGAUUCGGAUUGUGAGCUCGUGGAUUCGAGUGGUGUUCGUGGAUUCGGACGUGUGUGUGGCGUUCGUGGAUUCGAACGUGAGGGCAUGAACAACCCAGAGGCUUGCGCAAGAUCCAUAGGAGGUUAAGAGAGGUCGAGUCUGUGGAGUCGAUAAUCACCUUGUAAUCUUUUCUGUUAGUGGAUUAUUUUUUUCGCGUGUUGGUCUCGUGGGUUAUUCUCCAAACUGGAGUUUUUCCACGUAAAUCUCGAUGUGCUAUUUUUAUUUUUUGCAUUUAUUUUUUAUUGCAUUGAGAUUUGCGAUUUUGGGCUAUAAACCUAUUCACCCCCCCCCCCUCUAGGUGUGAUAUUAUCUAGAUAGAUCUUAGGGUUUCAUAACCUACAAGUAGUAUCAAAACGGGAUCUAGAUUUUUAACUAUCAUAAUGGGAGAAGGCGGUAACAUUAAUAGACCACCACUCUUCAAUGGCACAAACUAUUCUUAUUGGAUAACAUUAAUAGACCACCACUCUUCAAUGGCACAAACUAUCCUUAUUGGAAAGUUCGCAUAAGAGCUUUUCUUAUUGCCAUCGACAUGCGAGUGUGGCAAUCUAUUGAAUUCGGAUGGAAGCAUCCCACCGAAAUCAUCGAUAAUGCUACCGUCCCCAAACUUAGAAAUAGAUGGACGAAAGACGAAAAUGAGUUAUCUUCGUUCAACAGAAAGGGUAUAUAUGCUUUAUUUAAUACAUUGUCACAAACCUAGUUUUCACGCGUCACGGCGUGUGAAACGACAAAAGAGAUUUAGGAUACUCUACAAAUUACACAUGAGUGUACAAAUCUAGUAAAAGUUCAAAAGCUCCAAAUGUUGACAAGUCAAUUUGAUUCUAUUCGAAUGGAGGAGCACGAAUCUUUUACUGAUUAUUUACUAGACUUCAAGACAUAAUCAAUACAUGUGCUAAUUUUGGAGAGAAGAUCCCAUAAUCGAAAAUUGUUAGCAAGAUUCUUCGAACUCUUCCGGAAUGCUUUAGGGCAAAGGUGGCGGCAAUCGAAACCGUUAAGCAUCCGGAUGAGAUGAAAGUAGAAGAAUUAGUAGGAGCUUUGCAAACGUAUGAGAUGACUUUUCCUACUAAUCAAUCUUUUUCCAAGUCUUCUUCUAAAAGUACAGGUAUUGCACUCAAAUCGACAAAGGAAGAAGACAUGGACUCAGAAUCCGACGGAGACAUCUCUAUCGCGGACUUUGAACAUCAAUUGGCGCUCCUAACUAAGAAAUUUCGUCGAAACUUCCGGAAGAACAAAUCCAACAAAGCUUCAUCUUUGAAACAAAAAUCUUCUUCUAAAGAUUCUUCAAGUUCAAAAUCAAAAGAAAAGAAACUUGCAAAACCUUCUAAAGAAAAAGAUGUUUUUGAAGGGAAAAUCCAAUGUUUCAAAAGCAAAGGCUACGGCCAUAUUUCCAUGGAUUGUCCCACUAAGAAAUCCUACAAACAGAAGGCUUUGCAAGCAAGAACUUGUGAUGAUUCUACUUCGAGUGAAUCAAUCUCAAGUGACGAAGAAAAGAAUGAGACUGUUGCCUUGUUUACACUUCUUUUCGUUUGUCUUCUGUUGUUUGUUUAUCUUCUAUUUUACCUGACUCCGCUUCUUUGGUUUUGCAAGAAACAUCGAGCGAUGAUAAUGAAAGCAAAGAGGAGUCGGAUGAAGAAGAUCUCACCGAGGGUUGCCAUCAACUUCUUAUUGAAUCAAAGAAAAUGGCUAAGCAUAAUAAGAAGUUGAGAAAGAGAUUAUUGGAACUUGAAGAUGAGAACAAAACUUUGAAGACCACCAAUAAAGCUCUUGAGGAGGAAAGGGAAUCGAUUUUGAAGAACAAUUCGGUCCUCCAAGUGAAGCUCGACCAAUCGGUGUUAACGAUCAAAUCACACCAAGACAAGGUUGGUUUUCUAGAGCAACAAUUCGAAGAAACUCAUGCAUCUAACCAAGUUUUGACUAAACAAGUUCAUCAACUCAAAUCCAGCAUUCAAAAAUUUUCUUCCGGAUCAAAGAAGUUGGAUCAUAUGCUCGGAUUGGGUCAGACCAAUAAACUUGGACUUGGAUACGAGCGGACUUAUGUUGAGAAGGAUCAAAAGGAAAAACAUAAAGUCUCAACACCUUUAAAGGAGAAGGUGUGCCAUAGAUGUGGAAUCAAAGGACACAUCAAGAAGAAUUGCCCUAAGAAGAAUAAGAAGACUCAACCGGCAACUUCGAAAUAUUUAUCGACAUCUUCAAAUACUCGACUUCCCCCAUGGAUUCAAAAGCAACAUCAAUCAAGUCGAAUACCUCAAAUCAACCGAAAGUCAAAGCCACAACAUCAAGCUCAACCAAAGUCGAAUGCAACAAGAAGACCAACGGUUGAUCAAAAGUCAAAACAAACGGCACCUAACGUCGACAAGUCGAGAAAACCAACGAUUCGACAAGUUUGGAUUCAGAAAGGUGAUAUCCUUUCUUGUCUUACGUCUUAGUUUGUUUUUGAUUUGUGUAGUGCUUUGAUUGGUGUUUAUUACAUAUUUUAUAAUCAUUGCAUUACAUGUUUGAUUGGUGCUUGAAAUUUAUUUUUGAAAUCUUUUCCGAGAAAGGUGAUUGGAAAAUUAAAACUUCAAAUUUUCAAGAAAGGUGAUGUUUUGAAAUCAUUGAUUUGGGAAAAUUAAACUUUCAAAGUGUCGUGAACAUCUUAAAAUUCAUUCAUUUUGAGUUAAGUUCAUAUUAAUUAUCGAUUUUACUCCACUUUUAUUAUUUUGAAUAUAAUUUAUUAUAGGAAUUCUUAAUACAUAUAUUCAUCAAAUUUAUGGAAUCCAAUUUGAUCUAUUAGUGAUUAAUCUAUCUUGGUUGUGCGUGUUGAAUAUAAUGAAUAGUUAUUUGCUAAUAGACUAAAAUUUGUCAAACUUUCUUUUAAAUGCGAGAUUGUCUAAUUUAGGGGGAAUUUCAAUUAUUAAAAAAAAUAAAAUAUUGAUACGAAAAAAAAAUACUCCUAUGUUUAAAAGAUGUGGAAAGAGUUACAUUCGAAAGAAGUGUGAAAACUAUUGUCACAUGUAGGAAAGAGCUACCACCCUGGUCGUCCGGUAAGUGUGUGAAGCUACCACAUGGAAAUUGUUUGAAUAGCCGAAAAGGUUGAAAAAUAGUAAAUAUUUUAGAUUUUUCGGAGUUAUAAGGUGGUAUAAUGAAAAGAUGCUCAAAGAGCCACCCUCGGUGUUGUAUUAGCUAAAUAUCAAUUUUGAACGUUUUGCGACAAAUUGGUGUCAAUUUUGCCAAUUUCUAUAAGUCGUGUUUCAUGAACUAUUACAUUUUGAUAGAUUUUGAACCACUAGAUUAUUUUUUGUGACGUAAUUUUGAAGUUUAGGUGAAUUAAGAAAUCUUGUAAUAUUUUAUAUUCAUCAUGAUAAUUGUGGAGUACAAUUCUUAAUUUUUGUGAAAUUAACUUAAUUUGAAUCAAUUAAAUAUGGAAAAUUUGAUUUUCUGGCACUGGGUACCGGUACUAGGUAUUGGGUACUGGUACGAGGCAAACCGGUACUGUUAAACUUGAGUGUUUAAAAACUUGUUUUUGAACUGGGUACCGAUACGCGGGUUCAUGUACCGGUACGAGGUCUGCGGAAUUAUUUUUAAAUACCGGUAUUGUGUUUUAUUUUUCCUCCAAUACUUCAUAAAACUCUUCCUUUCUCUCUCUAAAAAUCCCCUAGCAUCUUUCUCACCCGGAUCUACAAGUUUUCUGCAGAGAUUUGUAAGUUUCUUCUCUAGAUCUGAUCUUUUCAUCUUCAAAACCCUCUUUUUUUAAUUUUUCGAACGAUAUGUUGGGUUGAAGAUCGAUCUCUAUUUUUGAUGAAAUGUUGUCACGCCUCACGACCAACCGCCAAUUUGGACCGAGUCGCGGCGCCGACGACAGACCACCGAACGGAUUAGGGUUUCCCCUGUACGUGGACAGAGUCUCCCCUGUACGCUCUAGGCGUCGCAAUCCAAACAAUCAACGAAUGUUCCAACUAGGAACGGAUAUUAAUCCAGAUUGCAUAAGGAAGUAUCAAAUACAUAAAACUACCUGCUAUAACAAGCAUUCAUAUAAUACAUCACAGUUUCAGUUUACAAUUUUCUUCCAAAUUACAAUCUAGUUAUUACAUUGAAUACAAGUUGGUUGUUGUCAUUUCAUUCUAACCCCUAGGCCCUGCUGACUCGGGGUACUGCUACCUCUGGUCACUGUGGUGGGGCGCUCUCUACGGAGCUACGCCCUUGCCUCGCGCCGCCGCGCCGCACACGUACAACCUGAAAACACCCCAAAACCACGUGGGGUGAGAACCAACUCCAUGGUUCCCAGUGGGUACGGCCACCCAAGGGAAAA
This 65060-nucleotide long non-coding RNA is filed under the name Ananas comosus (pineapple). Its description in RNAcentral is "long non-coding RNA (ACOM_LNC001007)". The record is from RNAcentral. Lineage: Eukaryota; Viridiplantae; Streptophyta; Magnoliopsida; Poales; Bromeliaceae.